RNAcentral lists this long non-coding RNA (49800 nucleotides) under Vitis vinifera (wine grape). RNAcentral describes it as "long non-coding RNA (VVIN_LNC001630)". The record is from RNAcentral. Lineage: Eukaryota; Viridiplantae; Streptophyta; Magnoliopsida; Vitales; Vitaceae.
GCUUGAGCUGACUCCUCGAUAGUUAAAACAAAACAAUAUAUAUAUUCCAAUUUCUAACGAGAGCUUUGGAAGAAUUAAUCAUUUACCACUAAAAAAAAAAAAAAGACAAUUAGGAAAUCUAUUUUCCAAAAAGUCAUGAAUGUUUAAAGGCUAAGCCUAGCUACCAAGCAUUAUCUUAAGUAGUGCUUUCAUAUUUAUCUUCUUGACAUUGUGCUUCUACAAUAUAUUUGAAAAAAAAAUUCUUCCGUUGACUUAAAGAUAUUUUUUUAAAAAUAAUUUUUAUUUAUUAAAUUUUUAAUUGAUAUUAAUGAUGACCACUCAAAUUGGGGUACACCACAUAAAAUUGUUUUAGUUACUUCAUUUACAAAUAUGUAAUAAUUUUAGUAGGUCUUUUUUUUUAAAACUAUUUUCCUCUUAUGAAAAAAUAGGAUGGUAUAAAUCAAUUAAUAUGUUCAUAUUUAGUGUAAUAAUAUUGCUCAUAAGUCUCUUGAUGGAUUAUCCAAAUGUUAAUGAUAUUGAAUACCAUAAAGAAUUUAAGGUCUAUUUGAUAACGACUUUCAAAAACAGUUUUUAAAAAUUGUUCUCUGAUUUUUUAUAGAACAAAAAUCUGUUUUAAAAACCUAAAAUAUUUUAAUUAUGUUUUUAUUUUAAACAUGUUUUUAAAAUAAUUUUUAUAUCUAAUAUUUUAUUUUUAAUCAUAUAAGUUGAAAACAACAUAAAAUAUAAAAUAACUAAAUAUGUUAUUUGAAAAUACCUUGUUUUGAACAUAAAACAUAAAAUAAUUUUUGGUGACAACAUGUUUUCUUGUUUUUUUGUUUUAAAGAACAAAAAAUUAUUUUUCAAAAUAGUUGUCAAACAAACCCUCAUAUUCCUAUUCCUACACUAAUUAUCAAUUAAUUUUUAUAUAAGAUAGUUAAUGACGAAUCUAAGAAUUAAUAGAGAUCAAAACCCGAUAAUUUUAUCUAUACUACUAAGCUAAACACAUAUUUUUAAAUAAUUUCAUUUUUUUAAUCAUAAAAAGAGUAUGACCAACAAUCUUCACUAAAUAAAAAAAUGCUAUUCCUCCCAUGUUUAAAAAUAUAUAUAUAUAUAUAUAUAUAUAUUUUUGACUCAUAAAUAUGUUUUUCAACUAUUAUAAAACAGAAUGAAAUUGCUUUUGACUAGAAUCAUGAAUUGGGAGAUGACUCAAGUCAAUCAAACGCAUGUUUAGGGGUCAAAUAUAGACCAUUUCCAUGGUCAAAAUCAACCUUUUUUUUUCAAAAAAAUAAAAAUCCAUUUUUGAUAAAUUAUAUAAAUCUAUCUUAUAUAUUUUCUCUUUUAAACGUUAUAUCUAUUAGUGUAAAAUAUUUUAAAUAGCGGUGUUUAUAGGGUAAAAGGAGCAUAAAUUUCGUAUUGAUGUAGUAUUUGUUCAUAAGAUUUUAAAAAAAUUUAUUAAAGGCUUGAUGAGUUUUGAAUUUAUUAAGUCUUUUAAUUCUGGUUGGCCCUACUUUUUAAUAUAAAUUGAGAAUUAGUUCACGAGCGUGAGGGUAAUUUUUUUUUUUUUAAAUUUAUCAAUUUUAAGAUAAAUUUGAGGAUAAAAAUACAAAUAAUUUUUCAUAACAUGCUUCUUCUGAGGCUCACGUGCCCAAUACAGGGCUAUAAUUGCCACAAAAAAAAAUAAUACACAAAAUAAUGAUGAUUUGUUAUUCAGAUCCAAUGGCUGAGAUUCCACAUGGGGUUCAUUUGAGUGGUGAAGGACCCACAUCCUCAUCAUCACUCAUGAGGUCCAGCUAGACCAGAUCACCAAAUUCUCUCAGUUGUGGGCCACCCACUCUCAUGUGAGGGAAGUGUAGCACACGGUCCUAAGGAAAGGAGUGGGAUAAUAAUGUGGCAAAGUGCCCAUUUGUCUCCUCAUUAAGUGUGGGUGUUAGUCUAACUACCUUUCUCUUGGGUCCAAGUUGGUGAAAGGCUGCUUUCUUACUUUUUAGGAUUUUUUUAUUUUAAUAAUAAUUAUUUUUAAAUAAAAUUAUUUGUUUAUUUUAUUUAUUAGAACUAUUGAAAUCUAUCCCGACAAUAUCCAUAUCAAAGAUUCUAAUUGUAUAAUAUUUUAUGAUCAUUCAAGAAUCAAGAGAAAAAAAAAUGAAAAUAAUGAAUAAUAAAGGUAGUGAUCCAAAAUAAUAAUUUUUUAGUCAUUAAUUAUUAUUUUUAUGUACAUCUUAUAACUUAUCAAACGUUUGAUAAAAUUUAAUAUUUAUUAUUUAAUAAUUUAAAUUGAUUUUUAAGUUAAAUUAUACUUAAAUUAUUAAUUUAAAUUUAUUAUUUAAUUUUUAUUUUAAUUAUUAAGAUUGUUUCAUAAAUUAAUUUAAAAAUUAUUUUGAAUCAUCAAAUUGAUAUGUUUAUCCUUAUAAAUUAUAACUAAGGUAAAGAUGAUCGAGUAAUAAUAAAUGUUGUGAAGUAGCAAAUGAGUUAUUUAUUAUUUAAAGUUAUUUAUUAUUUAUUAUUUAAAUAAUAAAAAACUAAAACGAAGAUGAAUGUUUAAAAAUAAGUUAUUUAUUAUUUAAAGUUAUUUUUUACUUUAAAUCAUACCAUUAAGUCAUUUUAUUUAAUAUAUAUAAUUUUUUUAAUAACUUAAAUUAAGUUAUUAAAUCACUUUAAGUUAUUAAGUUGGUUUACCAAACACCCCCUUAGUAUUAAUAUCAACAAUGAUAAAACAAAAAAAAUGUAAUAUGCAUAAUAAGAUAUUAUAUUUGUAGAAUAAUUCAUUAGUGAUAAAUAGAUAAAUCCAACUUAAAUUAGUAAAUAAAGUUAAAAUCAUGGAAUUUUAAAAAUUAAUGAUAUGUUUGGUAACAUUUAAAAAAAUAUUUUUUUUAUAAUAAUUUUGAAACAAAAUGAUCCUAAAUUAUUUUCAAGAAUAAAUAUGAAAAACAAUUUUCUUCAUUUAUUCUUAAUAAUGCCAAUAUAAAUGUUUUCAAAAUAUUCUUUUAGUUAUUACUACAUCUUUGCAAAAAUAAAAAAAAUAAAAAUUAAAAAUACAUCAAAAUUAUUUUUUUAAAAAAAUUGGUUUGAGAAAAAAAAAAAUAUUUUAAGACAAAAGUUUGAUAAAUCUAUUUUCAAAAUUAGAUGAUAGUUUUCUAUUCUAAAAAAUAGUUCCAAAUUGUUAGUAUGUUUAGCUAUGAAUUAAAAUGGAUAGGUUGGCAAUACAAAAUGUAUGAAAUGGUUGAAUAGUUUUCAUUUCCAAUUGAAAAUUUGAAACCUAAAUUUAAAAUUAAAGAAAAAAAAUCAUCCAAAGAAGUUGCCAAGCAAAAGGAUCCAAAGUGCAGUAAAGACCACGCUCUUGUUCAUGUCCCAAAAGUAUGAACACAAACAAUCAUAACCCACCUCAUAUUUUCCCAAUUUUCUCAGCACAUCACCAUCCUCCUAACCCAAUAAUGAUCCCAUAACAACAAUAACAAAACCCCACAAAAAAUCAAACUCAGUUUCAUAUAUAUAUAUAUAUAUAUAUAUAUAUUUAUCAGUUUGUUUGUACAAUACACAUGUAAACACAAAUACAAAUAAGUCUUCCCAUUGAAGUAAAGUUUGGUUGAAGUUGGAGGCAUAUUGAGUAGGAAAGUGGCCAACCUCCCCCCCCCUCUCUCUCUCCCUCUCUCUCUCUCUCUCUCUCAUCAUCAUCAUCAUACCGAAAGAAAAGAAAAUUAUAUAUCCCACAAAAGGUGCAAGGUGGGAAAGAAAGUGAAAAUUCUUGAGGAGAACCAUAUUCAAAGUAAAGGGAAAGAUAUAAGCCAAAAAACAAGAACAUAUAGCUUAAAGUUUAUAGGAAGGAAGAGAAGGGUUGGCUCAUCUUCAUCUCUCCUCCCCCUGCCCCUCUUCUUUUGGUUGCUUCAGCCUUUUCUGAAAGUGGGUUUUCAAGGGUUUCAACAGUUUUGCCUUCACAAGGUACAAAAAUUAGGGGUGAUCUCUUUUGGGUUUUUGCUAAUUCUGAUUUUUGGUGGAAAUGAUUACUGUAAUUUUCCAAAAGGUGAAGUCUCUUUUCUCUUUUCUGUUGUUGCAGGGGUGAGAAGUUGUGUUGAUAUGCUUGGUGGGUUCAGGUAAUUCUCCAUUUUUUUUCUUUUCUUUGGUAAAUUUCCUUUUGUUCUUGGGGCAGAUGCUGGAUUCAGCAGCUAGAAUUGUGAGUUUUGUGUGGAAGAAAGUUACUGUUUCUGUGAUAUUUCCUGGGUAUUUUGGCUCAAAAUUCCACCUUUUUUUAGAAGGAAACUUUGGGAUUUGUAAAAUAAAUUCAGUUUAUUAUCUUCUGAAGAAAGCUUCAAAGGUGUCUGUGUUCUGUUUUUGGAUUUAAAAAUCAAGUAUGAAGCUCAAGUUUCUUCACACUCCUCCGUAUAAAUAUAAUAUAGUAUGUAUAGGGAACUUGUUUUUUGUUUCCUCUAUAUUUAUAACUUUGGUGGAUAACCUAGACUAGAGGUGUGGCCUUGAUUCCAAAAAACCCCUGGUGUGUGAUUUUUCGGGUCAUUGGAUAAUUUUUCGGGUUUUUGAUAAUUAAUCCUAUAACCGAGAACCGAAUCAAGAAAAAUACAAAAGGGUCUAGAUAUUGAGGCAAUCGCAGAACAAAAGGGUGUAGAUGGACAAUCCAUCAAAUUAUUCUUUUCGGGUAAUAUUUGAGUUGAUAAAUAACCUAGACUAUAGGUGUGGCCUUGAUUCCAAAAAAGAGAAAAGAAAAAAUCCAGUAAGCCUUGAUGUGCGAUUUUCGGGUUUUCAAUGAAUUCGAAAAAACAAAUCAAAAACAAUACAAAAGGGUCUAGAUAUUGAGAUGAUCACAAAACAAAAGGAUUUUAGAUAUUGAGACAACUCAUUUCAUUAUUCUUUUAGUACAACACUUGAGUUGGUGAAUAUCCUAUAGACUAGAGGUGUGGCCUUGAUUCUGGGAAAAAAACCCAUUAUGCUUUGUUGUGUGAUUUUUCAGCCUUUUGAUUAACCCGAAAACCAAAUCAAGAACUAUAUGAAAGGGUCUUAGAUAUUGAGGCAAUUCAUCUCUUUAUUCUUAUAGUAUGAUACUUGAUCUGGUCAAUAACCUAGACUAGAGCUGUGGCCUUGAUUCCCAACAUCCUUGUGAGCUUUGUUGCAUGGUUUUGUGGGUUUUCGAUCAAGCUGGAAAUGUUCAAUCCAAAAAGGUCCAGAUAUUGAGAUGAUCACAAUAAAAAAGGGUCUAGAUACCGAGACAGUUUAUCUCAUUAUUCUUUUAGUAUAAUAAUGAAGUAGAGCUUCGUGUCAGGAAAAGUUGAGAAAGAUUUUUGUACGAUUUCUGAUAUUAGUCAAUUUUCUGUUUUUGUAGUUGGGUCUGAGGAUUCUUAUUUGUUUAAUCUGUUUUCAGGUUUUCCACGGUGCGAUGGUAAAGCCCAGAACAUGGGAAAGAAAGGGAGUUGGUUUUCUGCAAUCAAGAGGGUUUUCAUACCCAACUCCAAAGAGAAACUAGUCAAUGUAAGUAGAUAGAUUAUCCAUGGUGUUUAGACACUUUUUUUGGGUUCCAACCUCCAAAAUCCCUGGUUUAGCUUCCUCCAGAAUGCUGGAAAUGCCUCCAUGCUCGAAAAAUUAUGAAACAGGACUUGUAAUAAGUCAUUUGAUUUUGGAAUUAUUAUGAAUUGUUGUAGGGAACAGAGAGGAAAAAUGCGAAAGAGAAGAAAAAGAAAGGGCGAGAUACACAUUCUUUUAUUCCGCUCUUCAGAGAGCCAAGUAGUAUUGAAAAAAUAUUAGGGGAUGCUGAAAGAGAGCAGCAAAAUAAGAUAUUUCUUAGGCCUCCAACGCCUUCUGAGACACCAAAAGUACCAACUCCUGUGCCUCCUAGAGUUUCCUCUCCGAGGGUAACUUCUCCAAGGGCUGCUGCUUCACCGAGGGCUGCUGCUUCACCGAGGGCUGUUGCAUCACCGAGGGCUGUUGCAUCACCGAGGGCUGCUGCUUCACCAAGGGCUGCGUCUCCUCGGGCUUUUCAUCAUCACAAGGAAGUCAGCUACAGACCCGAACCAACUCUCAGGAAUCACCAUAUUGCAGCUAUCAGGAUCCAGACAGCAUACAGAGGUUAUAUGGUAAGCUUCCACUCUUUCUUGUUUGUUGGAGAAAUUCAAGCAAAUCAUCCCCAUGGAAGUUGGGCUUUGAUUUUUAUACUCCUGUUGUAGAAUAAUGGCAAAUCAAACAGGAAAGCUUUACAACAUGGGAAUAUAACACAACUCAAAUUUAAUUAUUUUUUGAGUAAUUGAAAUGAUUCUAAUUUAAGCUGAAUUUUGCCAGAUGAUCUUACCAUGAAAUGAUUCACUGAUGUGAUUUUUUCAAUGUAGGCAAGGAGGAGCUUCAGAGCACUCAGGGGUCUGGUGAGGCUACAGGGAGUCGUGAGAGGCCAGAAUGUGAAGCGCCAGACAACAAAUGCAAUGAAAUGCAUGCAGCUGUUAGUGCGGGUUCAGUCACAGAUUCAGUCCCGGAGGAUCCAGAUGUUAGAAAACCAGGCACUCCAACGUCAAUCUCAAUACAAAAAUGACAAGGAACUGGAGAGCAGCAUAGGCAAAUGGGCCUCAAGCCAGCCAGUAAGUUUCCCUUUGUUUGAUUUAGUGUUGGAUUGUUUUUCAUUAUUAGAAGAGCACAUGCUUAAGGAUCAUUUGAUCGCUAUAGUCAAAGGGAAGACACUCAUCUACAUGAAAUCAUGCUUGUUUUUCGAUUUUGUUCUGUGUUUCAAUUAAGAUUAGUACAAUUGAUGAUGGGAUGGCAUUUGUACAGUCUGAGGCAGGUAACAAUGAAGACUGGGAUGAUAGCCAGCUGACGAAAGAGCAAAUAGAAGCUAGGUUGCAGAAAAAGGUGGAGGCAGUCAUCAAGAGAGAAAGAGCCAUGGCCUAUGCAUAUUCCCACCAGGUACUACUCUAUUAAUAUUAUUGGACAAUCAAUUUUUCGACAAGUUUAGGUUUUUACAAUUGGGGCAUACAAUGUAAAUAACAUUUUCUAACACCCUCCCUCACAUGCGGUCUCAUGCUUGCAUGUGGAGAAACAAAUAGUCCAAUAGGCAAAGAGCUCAAUAAAUUCAGGGAAAUAAAAGUUGCUGUGAAGUUUGAGUCUAUGACCUUUCUUUAAAGGGGGUUCUAAUACUGUAUCCGGUAACCAAUUUUCCCACAAGUUUAAGCUUUAAGGUUCAAGUCAUAAUGUAUAUCAUUCUUUCUAAUAGAUGCUACCCAGUUCAUAUUUUAUUUUAUCAUGUCGGAUAGGCUUCACUAACCCGAAUGACUUUUAGGCCUGGACAUUAGGAUACUGUUUAUCCAAUCAAGUAAAAUUUUAGUUCUGGUUGCCCUUUUCCAGUUCUUACACAGAAUAGAUUCCUGCACUCUCUAUACCUUUUCAAUUAUCUGAUAUCGUUUUAUGAUUUCACUAACCUGUGUUGACAGUUGUGGAAAGCCACCCCUAAAUCAGCUCAAGCAUCUAUAAUGGAUAUCCGAUCUGGGGGAUUCCCAUGGUGGUGGAACUGGUUAGAACGUCAGCUCCCUCCGGCAAAUCCUCCUGAAAGUCAAGCCACCAAGAGCAUCCUACUAACACCCACAAGACCGACUCCAGAUCUCAGGCCAAGUCCUCGACCCCAAGCAAGCAACUACAGGCAACAGAGUUUCGGGUUUGACAAUCUUGAGUCACUCACACCAAAGUCCUCAAAAUCAGCAGUACCUGCAAGAGCAAAGACCCCUCCAAAUAGAGUGCCACAAGCGAACGGCUCAAAUCUAUCAAGAUAUCCAAAGCCGAGAGCUAGUGCAGCUGAUUCUACCUUUGAUGUGCCACUGAGAGAUGAUGAUAGCCUCACCAGUUGCCCGCCAUUUUCAGUUCCAAACUACAUGACUCCAACAGUGUCAGCUAAAGCCAAAGUGAGAGCUAACAGCAACCCCAAGGAGAGGUAUCCAGUGACUCCCAGUGCUGAAUCAAAGAGGCGGCUUUCGUUCCCUUUGGGUCAAGGCAUUGGGUCUUUCAAGUGGAACAAAGGCACCUUGUUCUCUAGCAAGGAUUCCACCUCUCAGAGGGUGAUAGAGAGGCACCAGUCUCUGCAAUCUACUGGGAAUUUGAGUGUGGAUUCGACCGUUUCUUUGCCAGCUACAGUUGGGAGGAAGCCAUUUAACCGAUUUGUGUGAUCUCUUUACCCUUUUCUUUUGUUUUCUCAACCUUCUAAAUUUCAUAUUUGGCGAGUCUUUUCUUUUUUUCUUCAUAUUGUUAAUUGAGUGUAUGGUGAUAUCUUUACAAAUUACUGAUGUAUAAUAAUAAAGAUACAGUACUAGGAAUUGAUGGUUUGAAUGUAAGAUGAUUUGGGUUUUCAGAAGAUAUCUUGUUACAUUUCCUUUUGGAUUUCGAUAGCCUAAAAAGCAGGCCUUAUUUUCUGUUUGGUUGUUGAGAAAGUAGAGGAAAAAAACAUUGUGGUGUUUGGGACUCUAUUGAGGAGAGGUUUAAAAGGAAAUUAUCUGUAGAAAAAACACUACCUUUCCAAAGGAGGAAGACUUGUCCUUUUAAAGAGCAUUAUUUCAAAUCUCCCUGUUUAUUUUAUGUCCCUCUUUGUUAUUCCUAGAAAAGUGAGAAUUGGAUUAGAGAGAAUUCAAAGAGACUUUUUAUAGGGAGAUUUGAGAGAUAGGAGCAAGAUCUACUUGGUAAAAUGGUUAGAGUUAUUCCUAGAAAAGUGAGAAUUAUAUUAGAGAGAAUUCAAAGAGACUUUUUAUGGGGAGAUAGGAGCAAGAUCUACUUGGUAAAAUGGUCAGAUGUUUGUAAGGUUAAAAUUUUUUGGAGGUUUGGGGAUAAGAAGACUAUAUAGUCUCAAUCAAGCUUUGUUAGGCAAAUGACUAUGGAGAUUCUCUGUUGAGUGUGAAAGUUUGUGGAGGAAGAUCAUUUGUGGAAAGUUCGGGGAGGUGGAGGGGGGUUGGACUACUAGAUUGUGGAGGGAGUCCUUUGGGAAGACAUUAGAAAAGAGUGGGAAGAGUUUAUUGCUAGAACUUCUAUCUAUAUAGGAAAUGGUAGUCAUACAAGCUUUUGGUGGGACACGUGGGUGGGGGACUUCAAGCUAAAAGAUGUUUACCUUACUAUUUUUAGGAUAACUUCCCAUAAAAAUGCUAUAGUUGCAAAAUCUUGGAAAAGAGAAGGGGAUGAAGGGGGUGUUGGGAGGUUCAUUUUAGAAGACCCUUCCAAGAUUGGGAGGUAGAGGAGGUGACCCACUUUUAGGGUUCUCUUGACUUGUUAAAAGUACAAGAAGGUGAGGACACUUUAUGUUGGAAAGAAGAUGUUAAGUCUUAUUAUUGUUCUCUAAGUGGGGAGAAUAAUUUUGUUUUUCCGGGGAAGGAGGUUUGGGGAUCCCAUGCUCCUCUCAGAACUUGCUUUUUUGCUUUGGAAGCUAUUUGGGGGAAGAUCCUAAUUAUAGAUACCUUAAUGAAAAGGGGAUGACAAAUAGUCAAUAAAUGUAAUCUAUGUAAAGAGAGUGAAGAAUUAGUCAAUCACAUUCUGAUUCAUUUCGUCAAGACAAGAAAGCUUUGAACCUUUUUAUUAGCCUUCUUUGGAGUGACAUGGGUAUUUCCAAAUUCAGUAAUAAAUCUCCUUCUUCAAUGGAAAGUUAAGGGGUUGCAAAAGAAGAUUAGAGCAUUGUGGCGCUUAGCUCCCAUUUGUUUAUUUUGAUGUGUUUGGAAAGAGCAUAAUCGAAGAACCUUCAAAGAUGAAUAUCUCUUUGACCAGGGUUUAAAGGAUCUCUUCUUUCGAAUUCUUUUUGAGUGGACUAGGGAUUCUUUGGAGCUGAAUUUCCCCUCUAUGUUGAUUUUCCUUGAUACUCUUUUUUGUGGUUAACUUUGCUGUGUUUUGUUUGUGGUCUUUCUUUGGUUGAGGUGUGUUUGGCUUGUUUCUGUGUAUACAACCUAUAUACGUAAGGCGCCCCCAACUCUUUUUUGGUGCUUAUUAAUGCAUGCUCUUGUUGUCUACAAAAAAAAAAAAAAAAAAAAGGAAAGUUCAGAAAAAAAGGUCAAUAUUUUCACUAUUGAAUUUGUUGUUCUUUUGGCUUAUACUCAUAAAACAAUGCCAAAAUAAUGCAGAAAGACCUCCUGUGAUGAACUUGUCUAAUUUUGGCGUGUCUCCUUUUUCUUCUGAGUUGUCUUACAGAGAAAAAUAUUAUGAAUCAUGGAAGUAGCACCUUCUGAGUUGUCUUAUAAAGAAAAAUAUUAUGAAUCAUGGAAGUAGCAGCUAGGGCAACUUAAAGCAUGCAUUGUUCGCAAAUUGACAAACAAUUUAUCUCAAUUUAUUUUAGGCUAGAAUUUCAACACCCCAUUACACAUUCACCCUCUUCUCAACCAUCUCCGCGUGGUUGUUGUUGAUAGCGAAAUUCCUUCACUGCAGUAGCAAGUACUAGCAACAGAAUCUCGAUCAACGCAUUACAGUGAUCCUUCCUUCCUCCUGCAAAAAGAUGUCCGGAUGGGUUGUCCGGACACACUCUCCGAUGAUUAAGUUAGUCUUUUGGAAGCUAUUUGAAAACAAAUUGUUCCUUUGGGAGUGUUGCUCCGUGAUUUUCUUCAAGGAUCCUUACCCUCCUGAGAGUCUCCUUAGAGUUUAUAUAUGAUUCAGAGAGUAUGGCCUCGCUGUGCUAACGGGUCCCAUCGUCAUGAUUGCGGCUCAUAGGGUGGUGAAGCAAUCAUGACCCUUUUGGUGCGAGGUGGCGGCUGUCAGAAGGGUAUUCAGGCGGCGGUGGUCACCUCAAUUUAUGAUUUUAGGUACCGGGGAUGCGUCAGGCAAUCUGAGAAGAUUUGGGAAUGUCUUGUCGAGCGUAUCUCGUAUUGAAGAUGAGUGAUAGUUCAGGAGACUUGGUCGACAGUAUUGUUGGAGUUUGCUUCUUGAUUGUGGGCAGAAAUGGAUCCGGCAAAUCAUGAGUGUUUGACGAGUCAAGUUGUCCAGGGAAUCUGAAUCGUUGACUGCGGAUGUACUCCGGGUAAGCGUUACCAAAGGAUCCGGACAUGUCUAACCGGGGAAGUUGAAUCGCACUUCUCUCCCAUCCGGUGGCAGGCGCCGACUAUGAUAUAUCCGGAGAUGGUGGAACGUCGGCCGUACAGAAUUUCCCUCCGGGUGGAAUGAGCGAUGCUACGUGUCGCAAGGGGGGCCGUCUGCGUGUCCAAGGGAUAGGGAGCCACGUGGCACUUUUUGGGGAGGAUCUCACAGUUGUGAGGAAAAUGAAGCUUUGGUACCAUGUUAAAUUGUUACUUGACCUAAAAACUUAGAUUAUUAGAUAAUAAGCCAAGAAUAUAUAUCAAAUUGGCUGAGGUGAAAACCUUAACAGCCGUUUUUGGAAUCCUUAGACAUGGCUAAUGAGCUUUUAGAUGGAUGUACCAAGUGGUCAUUCUUAAGUCAUGCUAUCAAUUGAUGGAUCGUAGUUGAGCAGUGUUAGGUGAUUAUUAUCAUAAAUGUAUGGUUGAGCAGUCACAGAUUAGCAAUUGAAAAGAAAGAUUUUCCAGGACUGAGCUGAAUUCAGAGAAGAAAAUAUACAUAGAAUUUGAUUGAAACGUCUACAAACAAGCAAGUUGAGAAGUACAUUAUUACCGAAGUAUCUCUGCUGUCUAUCAGCUACCAACUUGUCAUUCUACUGUGGUAAUCCCUCUAUCUUGAACUGAUGAAUGCUCCUAGGGAAAGACAUGUAUCACAUUGAACUUUCGAUUAAGGUAGCAACAAGGAAGCAUAAGCUAGCAUAAUAGCCUUUCAAGGGUUUUUAUCUAAAGAACAACUUGCUCUUAUGAGGGUUUUCUCCUCCAAGUUGCCUUUCCAUAUGUCUAAAUCCACCCAAGGGGUCUUUUUCACUAGUUAAUGAGUUUACUACAGUCUGAUUGAAUCCCAUGAACAUGCAAUUCUAUAUAUAAGGACUAUCUAAAUAUGUUUAGCAUUCAAGCCUCUUGUCCAGACUAGAAGGUCAGAAAAUGGCUCUCGAUUUGAAUCCCUUGCUUUCUUUUACUUUCCUGCAAAUGGGUUAUCAUACAUCUCCCAAAUUCUCCAUGGCCUCAACGCACCGCUCUGUAUUCAGGUGACUGUGUUCUUCACUUCUUACAAAAGUUUACAGAAUGUUCAUACCAUUUAGUAGAAAAUGACAAGUACCUAUGUUCAUCGUUUCAUCCUAACCAGUGUCUAACCCUUGUAAAAAGACGGAUUUGAAUUGUCAGUACCAAAUCCAAAUUUCUUCUGUUUAAUGCAGGGAGGUUAAGAAUCCAAACAAGCCUUUAGCUCUCCUCACAAGGUGCAAGUAACCCACUCAAUGCCACCACACAAGAUUGAGAUUUUCAAAUCCAUGGAGAAUUGGGUUGAGGAGAACGUUUUAAUUCACCUGAAGCCAGUUGAGAAAUGUUGGCAACCUCAGGACCUUCUGCCUGAUCCUGCAUCUGAUGGAUUUCAUGAGCGAGUCAAGGAGCUACAGGGACCCCGGAUGACUACUUUGUUGUUUUGGUUGGAGAUAUGAUCACUGAAGAAGCCCUUCCAACUUACCAAGCACAGAUCAAUAUCACUGAUGGAAUUCGUGAUGAAACAGGGGCAAGCCCCAGCUCAUGGGCAACUUGGACAAGGGCAUGGACCGCUGAAGAGAACAGGGACGGUGACCUUCUUAAUAAGUAUCUCUAUCUGUCUGGAAGAGUAGACAUGAAACAAAUCGAGAAGACGAUUCAGUAUUUGAUUGGGGCUGGAAUGGUGAGAUUCUUGCUACAUGCCCUUUUUUUUUUUUUUUUCUGUAGUCAGUCACAAUCUUCACUAGUUCUUGAACUCAAGUUCUUCUUCUCCAUCUUUUCAUAGGAUGUGCAGAUGGAAAACAAUCCGUACCUUUUAUUCAUCUAUACUUCAUUUCAAGAAAGGGCAACCUUCAUAUCCCAUGGCAAUACUGCCAGGCUCGCCAAUCAACAUGGGGACAAGAGCUUGGCUCAAAUAUGUGGCAUAAUAGCCUCAGAUGAGAAGCGCCAUGAAACUGCCUACACCAAGAUAGUGGAAAAGCUCUUUGAGAUUGAUCCCAAUGGAACUGUUUUGGCUUUUGCAGACAGGAUGAGGAAAAAAAUCACCAUGCCGGGCCUCUUGAUGUAUGAUGGCUGUGAUGACGACCUUUUUGAACACUUCUCAGCAGUUGCUCAGAGGCUUGGUGUGUAUACUGCCAAGGACUAUGUCGAUAUCUUAGAAUUCUUUGUGGAGAGAUGGAAUGUGGAAAAGCUAACUAGGCUUUCUAGUGAGGGGCGAAAAGCUCAGGAUUAUGUUUGUGGUUUAGCUAAAAGAUUGAGAAAGCUGGAGGAGAGAGCUCAAGAAAAGGCUCAGCAAGCACCCACCAUUCCUUUCAGUUGGAUCUUUGAUAGAGAAGUGAAACUCUGAGUGCAAAAUUGAAGAAAAAGACUUUGGUUCCUUUUAUUUUUAGUUAUCUUUUUUCCUCCACUUGGAAGAUAUUUGAGAUUUUUUUUUUAAAUUCUCUUUGGUCUAUAAUUGGAAAUAUUAAUUUUAUUUGCAAAAUUAAAUUUUAUAGUCUUUCAAAUUUCACUAUGUAUCACAUUUUGAAUAUAUACUAGACGUCAAAUGUGUGUGACUUACUACUUGUCGAGCUCAAAUUUUAUUGAAUUGAGAAGUCAUAAUUUUGAAGAUUAAUUUAGUGAUAAUUCAAUUCACUAAUUUUUUUUUUUGAUGUUUAUAGCAACCAAAAAAUUGUUUUUUUUUUUUUUGUGUUCUUAAAAAUAGAAAAUAGGGUGUUUUCAAAAAACACCUUUUAGUUCUUUUAAGUUGUUUUCACUUAUUUUGUAAAUUUUUUUUUAAAAAUAAUUAUACAAAUAUGAAGAAUGAUUAAAAAUAAAACCUUAUAUAUAAUUUUUUUAAAACAUAUAUAUAAUUUUUUUAAAACAUAUUUAAAAAUAUUUAAAACAUAUUAAAAACAUUUUAAAUUUCCAAGCACAUUUUGUUUUAUAAAAUAUUAAAAAAUAGUUUUCAAAAACUGUUUUUGAAAAUAAUUAUCAAAUGAACCCUUAAUUUCUUUUAAAUUGAUUUAAGAAAACAGUAUAUAUAUAUAUAUAUAUAUAUAAGUAAAACAUGAGAAAUGUUAAAUUCAUAAAUUUGAAGAUUAUUUUAUCCCCUUUAACUAAUUAAUUCUUAGAAAGAAAAAACUCAUUUAAACUUGCUUAGACUGACUUUUGAAAAACCAUUUUUUUUUUAUAAAAAAAUUCAAUAAAAGCUUGUAAAUUUGUUUGGCAAAUUUGGUCUAAAAAUUUUAUGAUUUUAAAAAAAGUUUAAUAUAAAAAGGUAAAAAAUAUUGCUUUUUAUAGAAGUUAUGUUUUAUCUAAUACAAAAAAAAAAAAAGUUUAAUAAAGCUUUUACAAUAUCAACAUCGUCAUUUUAAAAAACUUUGAUGAUGUUCUUUUAUAAACUAUUACAUAAAAUAAAAAUAUUUCUAAAAUAACAUUUUGAGUGAUUUUUUUUAUAUUUUUAAAAGUUUUUCAAACAUCUAAUUUUGUGAAGUGUUUUCAAAUAUUCAAAAGCACUUUUAACUUUAUUAAAACCACUCUAAAAUGAACUCUUGGAAUUAAAAUUGAUUUUGAGAGGAUUAGAAGUGUUUCAAUGAUGAUGGUAGCAAUGUUGUAUAUUCUAUAAAGUUUAUUUGAUGGUGAUUUUAGAGUGUUAGAAGCAUUUUUUAUUAUUUGAAAAUACUUACUUAUAGAAACUAGAUGUUUGACAAACUUAAAAAUGUUUAAAAAAAAUUAUUUUCUUAUGUUUAAUUUAUUAUGAAAAAUAUGAAAAAAAAAUCAAUUAAAAACUUAUGCCUUUCAAAUUGUUUUCUAGAGUAUUUAAGGAAUAAUUGAGAAUAAUGGAAAAUACUUUGAAAAGAAGAAAAAUAUUUUUAAGCAGUAGCAGUAGCAGAUUAGCAAUUAAAAAGAAGGAUUUUCCAGGACUGAGCUGAAUUCAGAGAAGAAAGUAUGCAUAGAAUUUGAUUAAAACGUCUAUGAACAAGCAAGAUGAGAGGUACAUCAUUACAGUACUAUCUCUGCUGUCUGUCAGCUAUCGACUCGGCUUUGUACAGUGGUGAUCCCUCCAUCUUGAGAUGAAAUCACCAACACUUCCAUUAGGCCUUCACAAGGGAGUUUGCACAUCCUAGUUGCUACUUAGUAUACUGAGUGAAUGACAGAUCCCUUGGGGGACCGAAUAAACUCCUUAGUAAUAAAGUCUAAGGCAUCUUAAUGAACUGAUGAAUGCUCCAAGGGAAAGACGUGUAUCCCAGUGAGCUUUGGCUUUAUCUAGACACUACUUGUUCUUAUGAGGGUUUUCUCCUCCACGUUGCUUUUCCAUAUGUCUAAAUCCACCCAAGGGGUCUUCUUCACUAGUUAAUGAGUUUACUUCAGUCUCAUUGAAUCCCAAGAACAUCCAUUUCUAUAUAUAAGGACUAUCUAUAUAUAUUUAGCAUCCAAGUCUCUCUUCCAGAGUACAAGUGAAGUCAGAAAAUGGUUCUCAAUUUGAAUCCCUUGCUUUCUCUUACUUUCCUGCAAAUGGGUUUUCAUUCAUCUCUCAAAUUCUCCAUGGUCCCCAUGCACCGCUCUGUGUCCAGGUGAGUGUGUUCUUCACUUACAGAAGUUUACGGAAUGUUCAUACCAUUUAGAAGAAAAUGACAAGUGCCUAUGUUCAUUGUUUCAUCCUAACCAGUGUCUAACCAGACGGAUCCAAAUUGUAAGUACCUAAUCUGAAUUUCUUCUGUUUAAUGUAGGGAGGUUAAGAAUACAAAGAAGACUUCUGGCUCUCCUCACAAGGUGCAAGUAACCCACUCAAUGCCACCGGCCCACCACACAAGAUUGAGAUUUUCAAAUCCAUGGAGAAUUGGGUUGAGGAGAACGUUUUAAUUCACCUGAAGCCAGUUGAGAAAUGUUGGCAACCUCAGGAUUUUCUGCCCGAUCCUGCUUCUGAUGGAUUUCAUGAGAGAGUUGAGGAGGUAAAGGAGAGGGCAAAGGGGAUCCCGGAUGGCUACUUUGUCAUUUUGGUUGGAGAUAUGAUCACUGAAGAAGCCCUUCCAACUUACCAAACACAGAUCAAUAUCACUGAUGGAAUUCGGGAUAAAACAGGGGCAAGCCCCAGCUCUUGGGCAACUUGGACAAGGGCAUGGACCGCUGAAGAGAACAGGCACGGUGACCUUCUUAGUAUCUCUAUCUGUCUGGAAGAGUAGACAUGAAACACAUCGAGAAGACGAUCCAGUAUUUGAUUGGGGCUGGAAUGGUGAGAUUCUUGCUGCAUACUUUUUUACUGUUUUAUCUCCAAAACCACAAUGUAGUGACUGCUUUUGGUAUCUCUAUCAGUCACAAUCUUCACUAGUUCUUGAACUCAAGUUCUUUUUCUCCAUCUUUUCAUAGGAUGGGCAGAUCGAAAACAAUCUGUACCUUUUAUUCAUCUAUACUUCAUUUCAAGAAAGGGCAACCUUCAUAUCCCAUGGCAACACUGCCAGGCUCACUAAGCAACAUGGGGACAAGAACUUGGCUCUAGUAUGUGGCAUAAUAGCCUCAGAUGAGAAGCACCAUGAAACUGCCUACACCAAGAUAGUGGAAAAUCUCUUUGAGAUUGAUCCCAAUGGAACUGUUUUGGCUUUUGCAGACAGCAUGAGGAAGAAAAUCACCAUGCCGGGCCUCUUGAUGUAUGAUGGCUGUGAUGACGACCUUUUUGAACACUUCUUAGCAGUUGCUCAGUGGCUUGGUGUGUAUGCUGCUAAGGACUAUGUUGAUAUCUUAGAAUUCUUUGUGGAGAGGUGGAGUGUGGAAAAGCUAACUGGGCUUUCUAGUGAGGGGCAAAAGCUCGGGAUUAUGUUUGUGGGUUAGCUUAAAGAUUGAGAAAGCUGGAGGAGAGAGCUCAAGAAAAGGCUAAGCAAGCACCCACCAUUCCUUUCAGUUGGAUUUUUGAUAGAGAAGUGAAGCUCUAAGGGCAAAAUGGAGUCACUAUAUGUAGUUUCUAGGUCGUGUUCUCAAAGAUUUAUCCAGUAAUAUACAAGUGUAAGGCAUCUAUGUUUCUCUAUCUCAAUUUCAAUAAUCACGAUCUCAUCUCAUUUCACUUCUUAGAAUGCUACAAACUCGAGCAGUGCCAUUUUUUUUUCUUUCACUAUAGGACAUUGGUAAAAGCAUCCUUAGCAAAAAGGAAAUGAUAGGACACUAUACAUCUAACAACCCUUUUUAAACUGGUUUUGCUGGUUUUAUUUUGGGUAUUUUUGAAUAAGCCCAAGUUUGGCAAUUGUUGCUUGAUUUUGUUCUGUGAUUUUUGCUUUCCUUUUAUUUUUUGCUGAGUCAAUGACUCUUAGGUAUAAAGGGACUGAUUCUUUUGCAAGGGAUUAUGAGAAGAUCAUCCAAUAAAAAGUUCUAUUUUUUUAGUCAAUAUGUCUUCUUCUUCCUAGCUGUUUCAUUGGUUUCAAAACGACAACCAGGCACCAAGUAAUGGUGGAUGGUAUCAAAGCUCUGACGAUUGUUGAUCUGAGGUCUCCUUCAAUCACUUUACAGAAUCCUCUAGUUCCAUCUGCCAUUACUUGAUACCAGGUUGUAGCUCUGAUACCAAUGAAACAGCCAGGAAAAAGAAGACACAAAAUUGACUAGAAAAAUGGAACUUUUUAUUGGAUAAUCUUCUCAUAAUCCCUACCAAAAGAACCAGCCCCUUUAUACAUAAGAGUCAUUGCAAAAAUCUGGGAAUAAAAUCAAGCAACAAUUACCAAACUUGGCCUAUCUAAAAAUACCCAAAAUAAAACCAGUAACCCCAAUUUAAAAUGGGUCUUUACAGUACAUAUUCCAAUCUAGGAAGCGGCUUAGAGAGCUCAGCACGUGGGUGGUAGUGGAGAAGGAAAUUAUGGCUCCUUAAUAAAUGCAAAUGUAGCCCCAGGGAAUGAGCCAAAAUUUUUCUCUAAAAGUUUUCUGUUCAUAAUUUAGAGCCGCUCUGCUCCGACCCAAAGAAGGGUCGAUUCGGUAAUAGGAAAAGCAAAGACGAUAGCGAGUGACCUACAGCAUUCGUAGAUAGGACUUCGCCAAAAUUUUCCUCUGAAAGUUUUCUGAUCAUAAUUUACUUCUCAGUGCCUGAACCCUUCUGCAGUAUCUUUUCUAAUUAAUGAAUUUCUUGAAAUGGGGCAGUUUCAUCGAAUGUCAUCAAUUUCUAUAUCCAUGUAUAUGUAGCAUCUAAGUAGCAAACUGAACCUAAGAAAAAGCAGAGGAAGUGAAAGUCCAGAAAUGAAUUUCAACCUAAACCCCCUUACCUUUCAACCCGGGAAGUUUCCUUCUCUUUCUCUCCGUCCCAGAUCUUCCAAUGUCUCCAUCGCUUCCACCAUCACCUCUGGUUCCGAGUGAGUGUCUUUCGUCGAAAUGUUCCUUUAAAAAUUCAUUUGAUUCUCAAAAUAUUCUAUGAGUGGAUAGAUCUUACCGAUGUUCAUUGAAAACAGGAGGAAGCAAAGGCCAAAAGUAUGCAUCAUUUUUAAGGCACAACCAACAUGAAUAGCAGCCAAACAGCCCAAUUGACCACAUGAAUCUUUUUUUUUUUUUUUUUUCUUUUUCUUUUUCCGGUUUCCUAUACUUUCUCGGCAACCAAACGGGUUGGGAGAAUAGGGGAAAGUGAAGGCAGCAACUUGUUCGCUGAUUUGUACAAGGCCAACCUUCAAUGCAAGUAAUUGCGUCAUUCGAUGAUAAUCAACGCUCUCGCUCUGAUAAUUGGCUACGGCAACCCUAUGAUUGGUUUCCAAGAAAAUGAUAGAAAAACAAACACACAGAAUCUGAGACUAAUGCUUGGGAGACGAUCCAAAAAAGUCAAAACAAUCAUACUGCACUUUAGAUGGUGGUCUGUGAAUUGGGCCGUAGGUAUGACAGUGGGCUAGGCCCAACUAUAACGGAAAACUUUUUUUUUCUUUUAAAAAUUCAAAUAUAAAAAAUGAUUUUCUUUGCUUAUUCUACAGAAGGGAGUAAACAAAAAUUCCCGACCUAGUAUCCAUAAAUAUAUAUUACAAGUAAGGGUCUCCAACGGGCGGGCCGGGCCGCAGGCUUUUUUAAAUAAGCCAAAAUGACUUUUAAAUAAAGGAAGGGAGAGGGGGGGAUUCGAACCCCUCCCCUUAAGCUUAAAUUUUAAGGCUUCAACCAACUGAGCAACAUUCUUUUUGUACUUAUUAAAUGAGUUAGUUAUAUAUAUAUAAAAAUAAAGUAUAUUAUUUUUUUAAAAAAAAUUAAAGGCUCCAUGUGAGUCAUGUGACCGUUGGGGCUAAGCCUCCAACGGUCACAUGACCAAUUUUUUUUUUUUUUAACCUUCCUAUAAAUACAUUUUCUUCCUUUUCAUUUUUUCAUCAAAUUCUCUCUAUUUCUCUCUCUAUUUCUCUCUCUAUUUCUCUCACAUUCUACAAUAUUUCAAAUUCUUUUAUUUUUCCCUCAAAUUAUACAAUAUUGUUGGUGGUGCAAAACAAGUAUUGGUGGCUCUAAGAGUUCAAAUUUGCUAGGAAUUUCUGCAUCGGUUCUCUAAUUGAGUAACAUACUUCACCCCUACUACUUUAUUUUUUUGUUACAUUUUUUUUAUAUUUAUUACUUUAUUAUUUUUGGCAUAAUAUUUUAUCAAUAAUUAUAAUAUGACAAGUGCUUCUUCAUCUAGUCCAUGUGAUGAAAUAUCAUCAAACAAAAAAUUUACUUCAAAUAUAGAAAUAAUUUUAAAAAAUAAUAAAAAAGAAAUAAAAGCAAAAUGUAAAAUUUGUAAUAAAUUUCUUACUGGUGGCUCAAAUACAGGCACAAGUCAUUUAAAAAGACAUCACGAAAAUUGUAAAACUAAAAAUAAUGUAGAUAUUAGAAAUUAUAUGCAAUUAGGUAAAAAUGAAAGUAGAAAUUUAAAAACAUUUUCUUAUGAUGAAUCUAACUGUCGUGAAGAAAUGAUUGAUUAUAUAAUAAGAGCAGAACAACCUUUCAACAUGAUGGAAACUCAUGAUUUUGUAGGAACAAUUCAACGAGGUAUUAAUCCUCAAUUUAAAGGUUGGUCUGGAAAUACAGUUAAAAGAGAUAUUAUGAAAAAAAUUUAUACACAAAAAGAAAUUUAAAAUUUUUUUUUUGCAAAUUUUGAAGGAAAUAUUUGUUUAACAUCUAAUAUUUGGACAUCUUUAAUUCACACUGGUUUUUUAUGUAUAACUGCUCACUACAUUGAUAAUGAAUGGAAAUUAAAUAAAAGAAUAAUUUCAUUUAAAUUAAUAAAUGCUCCACAUAGUGGCAAAAAUAUAACAGCUUUAAUAAAUGAUGAAAUUAUAGAUUUAGACAUUCGUGAUAAAAUAUUGACAAUAACAUUAGAUAAUGCUGCUAAUAAUGAUAUAGCAAUACAUAGACUAAAACGAUAUUGGCAAGUAAAAGAAGAUCAUGCUAAAAUAUUUCAUGUGCGUUGUUGUGCACAUAUUUUAAAUUUAAUUGUAAAUGAUGGAUUAAAAAAUGUUGAUAGUACAUUGGAAAAAAUUAGAGGCAUUGCAUAUAGUAUUAAUAGUUCUCAAGCAAAACAUGAAUUAUUUUUUGAUUGUUGCAAAAUGUUAAAUAUGAAAAGAAAAAAUAUAAAUUUGGAUAUGGCCAUUAGAUGGAAUUCCACAUAUAAACUUUUACAAAAUAUUACAAAAUAUAGAAAAGUAGUCGAAUUAUAUGAAAUACAAUUAAUUAACAAUGAUUGUGAAACAGAUAUUUAUGCAUUAAAUGAUUAUGAUUGGCAUAUUGCGGAUCUUUUAAGAGAUCUUUUUGAAAUUUUUGAUACUUCAACAAACAUUUUUUGUGGUGUAUAUUAUCCAACUUCAAAUCGAGUUAUUACGCAAAUAACUAAUAUUUUUAUUGUACUUCAAAAAUAUUUAAGUUUUGAAAUAUUUAAUGAUACAAUAUUUGCAAUGAUAGAAAAAUUUAGAAAAUAUUGGGGAGAAAUACCUUUAAUUUUUUAUAUUGCUUUAAUUGUGGACCCUAGAUUGAAAUUUGAAGCUUUGGAUGAAUGGUUAACAAUUAUUUAUUUUAAUGACCAAAUAAAAAUUGAAGAAAUUAAAAAUGAAAUAAAUUCAUUAUUAUAUAAUUUAUAUAACUAUUAUAAAGAAAAAUAUGGUAAUGAUAUUAAUACUAUUAAAUUACCACCUACAAACUCCUCAUCUUUUUAUAAAGGAGCUCUAGAAAUGUUGAAAAGUCGAAAAAAGACAACAAAUAGUUCUCCAAAUAAUACAUCUGAUUUAGAUAAAUAUCUUAAUACUGAUAUAAUUUCAUUUGAAGAUCAAGAAGAUUUUGAUAUUUUAAUAUGGUGGAAAUCACAUCAACACAAAUAUCCUGUGCUUUCUAUAAUUGCUCGUGAUGUACUAACAGUUCCUGUGAGUACAGUUGCAUCAGAAGCUGCUUUUAGUGCAGGUGGAAGAGUAGUUAGUAAAAAACGAUGUAACUUAGCGCCAGAUGUUAUUGAAGCAGGGAUAUGUGUGAAAGAUUGGGAAAUAGCAGAUAAAAGGAUGUACGAUUCCAUUUGAGAAACAGAGAUGCUUGCCGAUAUGGAAUCUUUAAAAUUAUCAAGAUCUUCAUGGAUGCAUGAUAGUUCGCCAUCACCGCCAGAAAAUAAUGACUAAAUGUAUAUUAUAUUUUUAUUUUUAUUUUUUGUGGUUGAAAAAUACAGAUGAUUGACAAAUAAAUAGGUGCCAACCUAGUUGGGAUGUAUUUAUUUUGUAGUGAUGUAAACUUUUCCCACAUUUUUAAAUGUAAUUAUACAUUCAAUGAAUAAAAUUUUGAAAUGAAUAUUUUUUUACUUUUUAUUUUUGUAGUUUUUUUUUAAAGGGGCGGGCCUAAGGGCGGGCCUACGGGCCGGCCCGGCCCGCCCAUAAACGGGCUUGGGCCGGGCUUUAGCCCGUCGGGCCGAGCCGGGCCUAAAGUGGGCCGCGGGCUUUUUGGAGACCAUUAAUUACAAGCAUAUUUUAAAAAUCAUUUCUUAGAAAAAUAAAGUGUCGUUUCCAAAAACAUCCUUCAACAAUGGUUUUGAAAACAUAAUUUUUUAGAAUAAUAUUUUAAAAUUGUUUUACAAUGAUUUGUAAAACAAAAGUUUGAGAGUUUGAAAUGUUUUUGACAUAUUUUUAAUAUUUUUAAAUAUGUUUUAAAAAUAAUUUUUAUAUUUAGUACUUUAUUUAAAAAGACCGAAAUAAGAAUUAAAAAAAUGCUAUUUAAAAACAUCAUAUUUUUUAUUUUUAAGAAUAAAAAAUAGAAAAUAAAUUUUUGAUUCUCAAAGUUUUUUUUUUUUUGAGAACAUAAAACUGUUAUAAAAAAAUAAUUGUCAAAUAAGGUCUUAUUUUUUUACACUCAAGCCUCCCACCCACCUACAAUUCCAAAAAAACAUCAUUUUUUUUUUGUUUUAUUUUGACAAAAAUGUCCUCCUUAAUUUCUUGUAAAAAUAAUUAUUUCUUUUAAAACCUACAUGAAAUAUUUAAAAUAAUAAAAUACAUUUAUGUCAAUAAUGAGUUAUUUUUCAAAUAAAAAUAUAAGAAUAAUUAGAUUCAUAAAUUUGGGAUUAUUUCAUAUUUUUUAACUAAUUAAUUCUUAAAAAUAAAAAAAUCACUUAACCUUAUUUAAAUGGACUUUUGAAAAGCCAAUUAUUUUUCAAUUCAAUAAAAGCUUUUUUUUUUCUUUUUUUUUUUUUUUUAAAAAGCUUAAUAUAAAAGGUAGAAAAAUAUUGCUUUUUAUAGAAGCUAUGUUUUAACUUUUAUUUUAUCUAAUACAAAAAAAUUAUUUAUGUUUAAUAAAGCUUUUAAAAUAUCAAUAUUGUCAUUUAAAAAUGAUUACAUAAAAAGAAAAAUUGAAAUAAUAUUUUGAGUGAUUUUUUAUAUUUUUUAAAAAUUUUCAAACAUCUAUUUUUGUAAAAACAUGUUUUCAAAUAUUCAAAAACACUUUUAACUUUAUUAAAAUCACUCUAAAAUGACCUAUUGGACUUAAAAUUGACUUUAAGGAAUUAGAAAUGUUUUGAUGACGGUGAUAGCAAUGUUAUAAGUUAUAUUGGGUUUGUUUGAAUCGUUUGAUAGUGAUUUUAGAGUGUUAGAAACGUUUUUUAAUAUUUGAAAAUACUUUCUUAUAGAAAUUAGAUGUUUGACAAACUCAAAAAAUGUUUAAAAAAAUUAUUUUUUCAUGUUUGAUUUAUUAUGAAAAAUAUGAAAAAAAAAUCAAUUAAAACUUAUGUCUUCUCAGAUUAUUUAAUUAUUCUAAAAAAAUAUAAAAAAUAAGUAAAUUAUUUUGAAAAUUUCUUUUUUUUAAAUCAAUAACAAUUUUUUCUUACUCUUUUAUCCUUCUUCCAUUUUAGCUCAUUAUCAUGUCAUUUAAGCUUAAAAAUAUGUGUUCAAUUUAAACUUAAUAAUAAUUUGAAAUGGGUUUAAGUGAGUCCUGAAAAAAAAACCAAUAAAUAAAGUCAAUAAGUUUAAUCUCUGAUUAAAUUAUAAUUAAUGUAUUAAUUAAAAAACUAAUUUAUGAGAUUAUGAGAAAUAAAUGAGGGGAGAAGAUACAAGAACAAACUCGGUGAAUAAUAGUUAGGAUUUAGAAAAAAAAUAUUUAUUUUAACUUAUUAUUUAAAGUUAUAUUUAGCUUUAAAUUGCAAUAUUAUGCCAUUUUAUCAAAUAUUUUUAAUGAUUGAAAUUAACUUAUUAAUUGUUUUUGAACACAUUUUCAAUUUUUAUUUUUAAAAUAAGAGCUCUUACAUGAAAAGUAAAAUCUUAUGUUUUUAAAAAAUCAGUUUUAAAAUUUUUAAAUUUUUUAAAAACUAUCUUAUUUUUAAAAUAAGUCUCUAAAAACUCUUAAAGUGCGUUUAAGAGUGAUUGUAAAAAGCGUUUCUAGUAUAACAUUUAUGAUAAAAAUUUUCAAGUAUUAGAAAUAUUAAAAACGCUUCUUAAAAUCAUUACCAAAUAAGUUCUUAAAUUGUAUGUCAAAAUUGAUAUUAUUUUUGUUUCUAAAAAUAAAAUUGAAGAAGUCCAUCUAAAUAAUAUUUAAGUCAUAUCCAACUCAUAUUAAGUCAUAUCCAACUUAGUUGGUAUCGACUUAAUUAUUGAAGCCAUAUGUUAAUAUUCUUUUAAUGCAUCAACCUCCACUCAAUUAAUACAACCUCAUACGAGGCUUUCCAAGCCAAAGUCUAUUGUUGAGUCUUGAAUGUUAAUAAAUGGAACUAAUCCCAACAAUAAAGUCUUAUGCCACAUGCCAAUUUCAAUAAUUCGUGAAAAAUGACCAACUUUAUGUCAACAAAUCUUAUUUAUACAGGCUUCAACUCCUUCAAUAAUUACUCUCAUAAAUUAUAAAAAUUACCUUAUACUUUCAGAUCUGCCUUAAUUCAUCUCUAAGGGAUUUUUUUUUUUAUAAAAAAAAUAAAAAUAAAAAGCAAUAUCAACCCUACACUAGUUUCAAAGAUGAAUAAGUUCUUAUGAUUGGAACAUAGACAAAUUAAAAAUAAAUAAACAUAUCAUAUAAUGUUCGAAAAAAUAAACAAACAUCUAUUAUCGUAACAUAGACACACGUUAUCUAUCUUUAGUGUUGAGCAUGGUGAUGGUGGUAAAGUUGCAAAGCCUUUUUACUCUAGAGGAGUAAAAAAGGGCCUUGAUGGCGACGAAGACAAAACGUGGGGUGGAUGGUAGUUGAAUAUUGGUGAUGGUGGAAUUUAUUAGAGUACUAUUUGGAAUCUAUUUGGUAGUAAUUUUAAAAGGAAUUAAAAGCACGGUGAAUUGUUUUGUAGUAGUAAUUUUAAUGUUUGAAAAUGAUUUUUUUUUUCUUCUUGAAUUUAGAAACAUAUUUAGCAAUGAUUCUUGAAAACGGUUUUUGAUUCUUUAGAAUAGAACAAUGUUUUCUAACUAUAUGUUUCAGAGAAAAUAAUUUUGUUAAAAAUGCAUAGCAUUAGUAGAUUAGCAAUUAAAAAGAAGGAUUUUCCAAGAUAGGGCUGAAUUCAGAGAAAGAAAAUAUGCAUAGAAUUUGAUUAAAAUGUCUAUAAACAAGCAAGUUGAGUUUUAGGGCAAAAUAAUCCUUUUAUAAAAUAAAAAUGUAAGGUAUAGCCCCUUCGUAAAACUUAUGUUCAAACUGUCCGAUUCAUUGCCGUAUAAAAGUCAUGCCAUAAAAUAUAUUUUUCUUUUCAAAAUUUAAGUUGAAACCUCAAUUAUCAAUUGGAACUUCAUUUUUUUUUAACUAAAACCAUAAUUUGUAAGUGAGACCAUUGAGGCUUCAGUUGAAUUUUUUUUUUAAAGUUUAAAAUUUAAUUAAAAUAUUAAACUAUAAAUUAUUGUUGAAAUUAAAAAUAUAUACUUUAAUAAUAAAAAUUAUAUAUUUAAACUUAAAAGAUCUAAUAUAACUUCAAUAAAAAUAAAUUGAUAAAUAUAAUAAUACAUAAAUAUUUUAUUUAUCAAUAAAUUAAUAAACUUAAAAUAAUAAAGUUAUAUGACAUAUAAAUAAGAUAUAAAAUUAUAUAAUUAUUAAUUUAAGAUAUUUAAUUUGUUGUAUUUUUAAGAUAUUAAUUCAUUUGUAUUUUGACAAAUUUAUCUUUAUUAAAAUAAUAGUAUACUAUUAAGUUUUCAUAUAUAGAUUUUUUAUUAUUUUAAAACAUAUGUUUAGACUAUUAUUUGUAGACACACGAUAGAUUUCAAAAUUAGUUAAUGAAAUUAAUUAGAAAAAGUAUACUAGAAAAUGUAAUUUUUAGUAGUUUCAUCAAAGUCACAAAAAAUACCCACUAAAUAUUUAUAUAGUGGGAAAAAAAACCCCAUUCCCUAACUAUAGCAGUUGCUACAUGUGAUAUAACUUAAAUUAAUAAAUUAUAUUUAGCAUUUCUAUAUAUAUAUAUAUUUAGCAUCCAAGUCUCUCGUCCAGAUUACACGGAAGUGAAGUCAGAAAAUGGCACUCAAUUUCACUCCCUUGCUUUCUUUUACUUUCCUGCAAAUGGGUUAUCAUACAUCUCCCAAAUUCUCCAUGGCCUCCAUGCACCGCUCUGUGUCCAGGUGAGUGUGUUCUUCACUUCUUACAAAAGUUUACGGAAUGUUCAUACCAUCUAGUAGAAAAUGGCUAGUGCCUAUGUUCAUAGUUUCAUCCUAACCAGUAGUGUCUAACCCUUGUGAAAAGACGGAUCCGAAUUGUAAGUACCUAAUCCAAAUUUCUUCUGUUUAAUGUAGGGAGAUUAAGAAUACAAAGAAGAUUUCUAGCUCUCCUCGCAAGGUGCAAGUAACCCACUCAAUGCCACCACACAAGAUUGAGAUUUUCAAAUCCAUGGAGAAUUGGGUCGAGGAGAACGUUUUAAUUCACCUGAAGCCAGUUGAGAAAUGUUGGCAACCUCAGGAUUUUCUGCCUGAUCCUGCAUCUGAUGGAUUUCAUGAGCGAGUCAAGGAGCUACAGGACAGAGCUAAGGGGACCCCAGAUGACUACUUUGUGGUUUUGGUUGGACAUAUGAUCACUGAAGAAGCCCUUCCAACUUACCAAACACAAAUCAAUAUCACUGAUGGAAUUCGCGAUGAAACAGGGGCAAGUCCCAGCUCAUGGGCAACUUGGACAAGGGCAUGGACCGCUGAAGAGAACAGGCACGGUGACCUUCUUAAUAAGUAUCUCUAUCUGUCUGGAAGAGUAGACAUGAAACAAAUCGAGAAGACGAUUCAGUAUUUGAUUGGGGCUGGAAUGGUGAGAUUCUUGCUACAUGCUUUUUUUUUUUUUUUUUUUUUCUGUAGUCAAUCACAAUCUUCACUAGUUCUUGAACUCAAGUUCUUCUUCUCCAUCUUUUCAUAGGAUGCUCAGAAUGAUAACAGUCCCUACCUUGGCUGCAUCUAUACUUCAUUUCAAGAAAGGGCAACCUUCAUAUCCCAUGGCAGUACUGCCAGGCUCGCCAAUCAACAUGGGGACAAGAGCUUGGCUCAAAUAUGUGGCAUAAUAGCCUCAGAUGAGAAGCGCCAUGAAACUGCCUACACCAAGAUAGUGGAAAAGCUCUUUGAGAUUGAUCCCAAUGGAACUGUUUUGGCUUUUGCAGACAGGAUGAGGAAGAAAAUCACCAUGCCGGGCUUCUUGAUGUAUGAUGGAUGUGAUGAAAACCUUUUUGAGCACUUCUCCGCAGUUGCUCAGAGGCUUGGUGUGUAUACUGCCAAGGACUAUGUUGAUGUCUUAGAAUUCUUUGUGGAGAGAUGGAACGUGGAAAAGCUAACUGGGCUUUCUAGUGAGGGGCGAAAAGCUCAGGAUUACGUUUGUGGGUUAGCUCAAAGAUUGAGAAAGCUGGAGGAGAGAGCUCAAGAAAAAGCUAAGCAAGCACCCACCAUUCCUUUCAGUUGGAUUUUGGAUAGAGAAGUGAGGCUCUGAGUGCAAAAUGGAAGACAAAGAUUGGUCGUGUCCUCAAAGAUCUAUCCUGUAAUAUACAAGUGUAAGCCAUCUAUGUUUCUCUAUCUCAAUUUUAAUAAUCACGAUCUCAUCUCAUAUCACUUCUUAGAAUCCUACAAACCAGGGUUUUGGUUUAUAUCUCGUCAUUUGGACUGAAGCAGUGCUUUUUUUUUUUUUUAAUUCCUAUAAGAUAUUGGUAAAAACAUCCUUAGCAAAAAGGAAAGGGAAAAUCAUCUAAUCAUACACCAACUACAAAAAAUAUGAAAUUUUGAAACUUUACUUUUUUCUUUUUAAUUUUGGUGUAAAAUGGAAAAAAAUAUUGUGUAUUCAUGCACUCCAAUAGUGCUUUCAAAUUUGUUCCACAAUUACCCUCAAAGGUAAAGGACAAAGUACACACUAAUUUAAUACUAUUUGUUAACAAGUAUAUGAGUCAUUCAAUUUUAUUAUUUUUCUCACAUCAAUAUAUCUCCCUUACCACUUGUCACGUUUUCACUUUUUUCUUUUUUCUUUUUUUUUGUUCCUCUCUUGCCACCAUAAUCCAUUGUCACCUAUUAUAGUUUUUAUUUUUAUUUUUAUUUUUUUUCCUUUAUAUUCUUUUUAAUAUACUCGUGCAUUUUCUCAUAAAACUUUUUUAAUUUUAAUUUAUUUUUACUCUUUAAUUUGUCUAUAUUUAUUGAUUUUAAUUAUUUUUUUUUGACAUAUUAAACUUAAAAUGAUAACAUGUAAUAAAUAAUUAAUAUAAAAAAUUAAAUAAAAAAUAUAUAUAUAAUGGACAAAAAUGAAAUUAUCAUCCCACAAAUAAUAAUGAUUUUAAAUAUUAAUUAUAAUAAUACAUUUUAUAAAUUAAGGUUUAAAUUUAAAAAUUCUAUUUUAUUAUUUAGAAGUUUAUGAUAUAAGAUUUUUUAUAUUAAUAUUAAACAAAAGAUUUAUUUAUUUUGUAAAUUCUAUCACAUGUGAUUUCUUCCGAUUUUCUUCUUUUCCUUAUAUUUUUUCUCAAAAUUCUCACCAGCCAAACAUAGGAAACCUUUUUUUUUUUAAUUAAUAAAUUGUCCAUUUAUUCCAAAAAAUAAAAAUCUCUUUUCAAAGUGAAUUCUCAAAAAACAUUAUUUAACAUUCUAAAUAACAAAAAACUAUUUUUAAAAACAAAAGUUUAAAUCUCUUGACAUGUUUAAUUAUUUUCAUUUUUUUUUAAAAAAACACAAAAUUCUUAGAAAAUAAAUAAUUUAUUUACCAAAUUCCCAACUUCCAUCCUUCUCUUUGAUUCAAAGGAAAAAAAAAAGAAUUUAAUGGUUUUAUCAUAUUUAAUUAACCAUAAAAGGAUACAAAAACUCAAUUAUAAUUAAUAUUAGUGAAGACUUACAUUUUUAAAUUAUUUAAAUUUUAUAAAAAGGUGACAAAAAUCAAUAAAAUGAAUUUGAAAAAGCAUAUAGAAUUAUUUUUAAAUCUACUAUAUAUUUUAUUUCUAAUUUCUUCUUCUUUUUUCCUACAUUUUUCUUCAAAAUUUUCAAUAACCAAUCAUAGGUAAAGGAAAAUUGUUAGUUUUAAUUUAUUAAUAAAUUGUCAAUUUUAUUCGUCCUAAAUUCCUAAUGAGUGUAGAUUCUUUUUUGUAAAAAAUAUUUCCUAAAUUGAUAUAUCAUUGUAAUAUUAGAUUUACUUAUAAAAUAAAGAAGGUUAUUUGAUUAAAAGGGUCAUAUCCAAUUUUGGAAAUUUAACCCUCCACAUUUUUUGUCUUAUUUUGAUAAAAAUGUCUUCACUAUAUAUAUAUUGUAAAAACAAUAAUUUCUUUUAAAACCUACAUGUAAAUAUUUAAAAUGAUAAAGGACAUUUAUGUCAAUAAUGAGUUAUUUUUCAAGUAAAAACAUGAGAAUGAUUAGAUUUACAAAUUUGGGGAUUAUUUUUAUCCCUUUUAACCGAUUAAUUCUUUUAAAAAAAAUCACUUAAAUCUUGUUUAAAUUGAUUUUUGAAAAGCCAAUUCUUUUCUAAUUCAAUAAAAGCUUCUAAAUUUGUUUGGCUAAUUUGGUUUAAAAAUUUUAUGAUUUGAACAAAAAAAAAAUAAAGAAAAAAAAGCUUAAUAUAAAGUGUAGAAAAUAUUGCUUUUUAUAGAAGCUAUGUUUUAUCUAGGGAAAGUUGUGUUUGCAUCGGCCCAUUUGAAGGUAAUAUGGAAAGCAAACCCAAAGAAACUGGAAUAUGGACUUUGAUCGUUAAUGACAAAACUAUUAUUUUUCUUGUGCACUAUAUACUUUCGGUAAGCUAUUCCAAAAUUGCCCUUUAGUUUUCCCUACCAGCAGCCACCGGUCUCCAUUUUAGCAGCCACCGCGCAAUUUAAUAAACACUCAAAUGUGAACCGGAAAGUUAUGAAAUCUGAAACCUGAUCACAAAAAACACCCGAACCCGGCUGACACUAUUAUUGACCUUUCAUUGAUUUUCAGGUGUUGGGCUUUGUGGAGCCUAGUUUUGUUUGAUCCGGUUUGACGACCCGACCCGAAUAAUAUUGCAUGGCUUUUUUAAUGGGAGAUUUAUUGAGGCCUGUUGGGCCCGUUUAGCCCAUUGUGGAACCACCUUUUGUAAUUAGGGUUUUUUAGUAUGGUAGGGUUGCCGUGCUAUAUAUAUAUAUAGAGAAUAUUGUAGCCGCUAAGUUGUACUCUGUCUUCUUCCUUGAUAAUAGUGAUAUCCCUGCAACUCCGUGGACGUAGGCAAAUUGCCGAACCACGUAAAUACUGUCUUGUGCGUGUGAUUGUUUUUCUUUGGCGUGUGUUUUCUCUAAUUUUUUGUUUCUCACGGGUUGGGAAUUCGGUUUAAUUCCCUACAACUGGUAUCAGAGCCUAGGGUUAGGUUUGAGUGGGAGCAAUGGCAGAGGAAGCAGGAAAGGCGUCUGGAAUAGAAAAGUUUGAUGACACAAACUUUGCGUAUUGGAGGAUGCAGAUUGAAGAUUAUCUCUAUGGGAGGAAAUUGCAUCUGCCUCUUUUGGGGACAAAACUUGAGAGUAUGAAGGCUGAGGAAUGGGCGCUUCUUGACAGACAGGUUCUAGGAGUUAUUAGGUUAACUCUGUCUAGGUCUGUUGCACACAAUGUUGUAAAGGAGAAGACCACAGCAGAUCUGAUGAAGGCUUUGUCCGGUAUGUAUGAAAAGCCAUCCGCAAACAAUAAGGUGCAUCUGAUGAAGAAAUUGUUCAAUUUGAAGAUGGCAGAGAAUGCAUCAGUAGCACAACAUCUGAAUGAAUUUAAUACAAUCACAAAUCAAUUGUCGUCUGUAGAAAUUGAUUUUGAUGAUGAGAUUCGUGCUCUGAUCGUCUUGGCUUCUUUGCCAAACAGUUGGGAGGCAAUGAGGAUGGCAGUAAGCAAUUCUACAGGAAAGGAAAAGCUCAAGUACAAUGAUAUACGAGAUUUAAUUCUGGCUGAGGAGAUUCGCCGAAGAGAUGCAGGUGAAACCUCAGGAUCUGGUUCUGCCCUAAACCUUGAGACAAGAGGCAAAGGUAAUAACAAAAAUUCAAAUCAGGGUAGGUCAAAUUCCAGAAAUUCUAAUCGGAACAGAAGCAAAUCUAGAUCAGGCCAACAAGUACAAUGCUGGAAUUGUGGGAAAACAGGUCACUUUAAAAGGCAAUGCAAAAGCCCUAAGAAGAAGAAUGAAGAUGAUUCUGCUAAUGCUGUAACAGAAGAGGUACAGGAUGCAUUACUUCUUGCAGUAGAUAGUCCACUUGAUGAUUGGGUUUUGGAUUCAGGAGCUUCGUUUCAUACCACUCCACACCGAGAAAUCAUACAGAAUUAUGUUGCAGGUGAUUUUGGUAAGGUGUAUUUGGCUGAUGGUUCAGCCUUGGAUGUUGUGGGUCUGGGAGACGUCCGGAUAUCAUUGCCCAAUGGGUCUGUUUGGUUACUGGAGAAGGUUCGACUUAUUCCUGACCUGAAGAGGAAUCUGAUUUCUGUUGGACAACUUGAUGAUGAAGGACAUGCAAUACUAUUUGUUGGUGGUACUUGGAAGGUUACAAAGGGAGCUAGGGUAUUGGCUCGUGGAAAGAAGACUGGCACUCUGUAUAUGACCUCAUGUCCAAGAGACACAAUUGCAGUUGCUGAUGCAAGUACUGAUACAAGCCUAUGGCACCGCAGACUUGGUCACAUGAGUGAGAAAGGGAUGAAGAUGUUGCUGUCAAAAGGAAAACUACCAGAAUUGAAGUCCAUUGAUUUUGACAUGUGUGAAAGUUGCAUCUUAGGAAAGCAAAAAAAGGUGAGCUUCUUGAAAACUGGCAGGACACCGAAGGCUGAAAAAUUGGAACUAGUACACACUGAUUUGUGGGGGCCUUCUCCGGUUGCAUCCCUAGGAGGUUCAAGGUACUACAUCACCUUUAUUGAUGACUCAAGUAGAAAGGUAUGGGUUUAUUUUCUGAAAAAUAAAUCUGAUGUAUUUGUAACUUUUAAGAAGUGGAAGGUCAUGGUUGAGACAGAAACAGGUUUGAAAGUAAAAUGUUUGAGGUCAGAUAAUGGAGGAGAGUACAUAGAUGGAGGAUUCAGUGAGUAUUGUGUUGCACAGGGAAUUAGGAUGGAGAAGACCAUUCCUGGGACACCACAGCAGAAUGGUGUGGCUGAGCGCAUGAAUAGAACUCUCAAUGAGCGUGCUAAAAGUAUGAGGUUGCAUGCUGGACUACCAAAAACUUUUUGGGCUGAUGCUGUUAGCACUGCAGCUUACCUGAUAAAUCGAGGACCAUCAGUUCCCAUGGAGUUCAGACUUCCUGAGGAGGUUUGGAGCGGUAAAGAGGUGAAGUUUUCACAUUUAAAAGUUUUUGGUUGUGUUUCUUAUGUUCAUAUUGAUUCUGAUGCUCGUAGUAAACUUGAUGCAAAGUCAAAAAUAUGUUUUUUCAUUGGUUAUGGUGAUGAGAAAUUUGGCUAUAGGUUUUAGGAUGAACAAAACAGGAAAAUCAUCAGAAGUAGAAAUGUGAUAUUUAAUGAACAGGUUAUGUACAAGGAUAUGUCAACUGUAACGUCAGAUGUUACAGAGAUAGAUCAAAAGAAAUCUGAGUUUGUCAACUUAGAUGAAUUGACUGAAAGUGCUAUCCAAUAAGGGGGUGAAGAAGAUAAGGAGAAUGUGAAUUCACAGGUAGAUCUGAGUACACCUGUAGUUGAAGUUCGCAGAUCUUCUAGGAACACUAGACCUCCGCAGCGUUAUUCACCUGUUUUAAAUUAUCUCCUGUUGACUGAUGGUGGUGAGCCAGAGUGUUAUGAUGAAGCCUUGCAAGAUGAGAAUUCAAGCAAGUGGGAGUUAGCCAUGAAGGAUGAGAUGGAUUCCCUGUUGGGGAAUCAGACAUGGGAACUGACUGAAUUGCCAGUAGGAAAGAAGGCUUUGCACAACAAGUGGGUAUACAGAAUAAAGAAUGAGCAUGAUGGUAGCAAACGUUACAAGGCCAGAUUAGUUGUUAAAGGGUUCCAACAGAAGGAGGGCAUUGACUACACAGAGAUAUUUUCUCCAGUUGUGAAGAUGUCAACAAUUAGACUUGUACUUGGAAUGGUGGCCGCAGAAAACUUACAUCUUGAGCAGUUAGAUGUGAAGACAACAUUCCUUCAUGGUGACUUGGAGGAAGACCUUUACAUGAUUCAGCCAGAAGGGUUCAUUGUUCAAGGACAAGAGAAUCUAGUCUGCAAACUGAGAAAGAGCUUGUAUGGCCUUAAACAAGCUCCUAGACAGUGGUAUAAGAAGUUUGACAAUUUUAUGCAUAGAAUUGGGUUCAAGAGAUGUGAAGCUGAUCAUUGUUGCUAUGUUAAGUCCUUUGACAACUCUUACAUCAUAUUACUAUUGUAUGUGGAUGAUAUGCUUAUUGUNNGGUCUGACAUUGAGAANNNNNNNNNNNNNNNNNNNNNNNNNNNNNNNNNNNNNNNNNNNNNNNNNNNNNNNNNNNNNNNNNNNNNNNNNNNNNNNNNNNNNNNNNNNNNNNNNNNNUUUUCUUGCCAAAAAUUCGGCUUUUCAUUCAAAGUCGAAACAUAUACAAACAAAAUACCACUUUAUCCGUUAUCUUGUUGAGGAUAAACUGGUAAUACUUGAGAAGAUUUGUGGAUCUAAGAACCCUGCAGACAUGUUGACUAAGGGUGUCACUAUUGAGAAGUUGAAGCUAUGCGCAGCUUCAAUUGGUCUUCUAGCUUGAGGACAGGAGGAUGAGUUGUAGGGAUGAGGGAUCGUUUCUUGGAGGAUAACGGUUUGAUGUUGGUGAUUGGACUAGUCUCCAAGUGGGAGAUUUGUUGGGCUUUGUGGAGCCUAGUUUUGUUUGAUCCGGUUUGACGACCCGACCCGAAUAAUAUUGCAUGGCUUUUUUAAUGGGAGAUUUAUUGAGGCCUGUUGGGCCCGUUUAGCCCAUUGUGGAACCACCUUUUGUAAUUAGGGUUUUUUAGUAUGGUAGGGUUGCCGUGCUAUAUAUAUAUAGAGAAUAUUGUAGCCGCUAAGUUGUACUCUGUAUUCUUCCCUGAUAAUAGUGAUAUCCCUGCAACUCCGUGGACGUAGGCAAAUUGCCGAACCACGUAAAUACUGUCUUGUGCGUGUGAUUGUUUUUCUUUGGCGUGUGUUUUCUCUAAUUUUUUGUUUCUCACGGGUUGGGAAUUCGGUUUAAUUCCCUACAUCAGGGGCAUGAGGUAUGUGGGUAUCCGUGAAUCAUGUUUUUCUUCAGUGGGUAUGGAUUAUUUUCGAAGUGUUCUAUGAUCUUCUUGCUCUUAUCAUGGGUUACUUCGGAAACUUGAAUGUUAAUGGUGUUGGUUUACAAUAUUUUCGAAAUUGCCGAAUGAUAGUUUUACUACAUUCUUGUGGGGUUUUUCUAUUUGUUUCUUUUAUCUUUUAUUAAUUGUGUUGCAAUUUGUGGUUUCAUACAGGAGAGUGGCUUUUGCUUUGUGUGAACUGCAAAUUGUACAGGAACAUAUUAAGGAUUUUCUUUCUUUUUUGUUUUUAUUGGGAAUAGUUUUCUAGGAUGGUUAAGUAUGAAUUCUUUGAGAACAUCUGUACCAGAAAUCGUGAAGAAAAUCUUGAGUUGAUCGUAGUGUGUGAAUAAUGAUUAAGCAUGAUGGAUUAAGUGUUUCAAAUGUACCAUAUUGAUGACAGCAUUUUGCGUAGAUGGUGCCUUAAAUUCCUAGGUGUCGGGUAAUGCUAGCUGAUAGGAUUGUUGAAUUCACCUAUUCCUAGUAGCCUGUGUGGCUGGUUUAAAGAAGGAAAUGGAUUAUAUCAAUUUUUUGGUUGCAAAUGACUAUUUAUUUGUCUAUUUAUUUAUUCUUUUCUUAACUUUUUCCCCUUAUAAUCCAUUAUCACAGAAUGUUUUUGGACCUUGUUCAGUUUUUAUUUAACAAAAUUCCAAUUGAUUUCGUGUUGCAAAUGUUUUUAAGAUUAUUUUGUGUCUCUGAGGUUGUCAUUGUUUCUAAUUGUUUGCGAGGGGAGGAGACAUCCUCUUUUUGUCUCUUUUAUUUUAUUUUAUUUUAUUUCAUUUUAUUUUUAUUGUUUUGUAUUUAUAAUUUAAAUCAGAAAUAAAAAAAUUUAUUAUAUGUCUCCCUUUUUGUUGACAUUCAAAUCUUCCUAAGAACAUGGCUAUAGGCAUCAGAAUUACAUAGAAGCAAUUAAGGGUGUACUAGAAAUUACAUUUACUUUUCCUCGGUUUAUGUUUCAAAUUCAAUUCUUGUUUUUCCUAAAAAGUUAAUCCUUCCUCACACCAUAUAUCAAGUUGAGAACAUUUGCCUUUCUUGGUGUCUUUUAUUAGCUGAACAAUAUGAUUAGGUUCAAUACACAUUUAUGUGCAUGUAUUUAUACAUAUGCAUCUAUUUACGAAAUACCUAAGGACAAUGGUUUUGAAUAAAGACUUAUGAGAAGGUAUCACAAUAGAUACAGUGGAAUGGUCAAAAGGUGGAGCAAUAAUAUUGGUAAGCAAUUUAAUAAUGCUAACACAAGCCAUUAUGCUCUUUGUUGACAUUAAUUUAAUUAAAAAAACACUACAAGAAAAAUGGGAAAUAAUGACGCUUAUAAGAAGUGUCAUAAUUGUAUUAUUUACCUUGACACUUAUUAUAAGUGUCAUUAUUUGAUGUGGUAUUUUUCCUUAUAACUGUGUAUAUAAUGACGCUUAUAAGAAGUGUCAUAGUUUUAUUAUUUACCUUGACACUUAUUAUAAGCAUCAUUAUUUGAUGAGUAUGUAAUCACGCUUCUAAGAAGUGUCAUAGUUGUAUUGACUUUUAAAAUUUUUGUUUUUAAGUUAACUUAUACAAAUUUUGAUAUUAGAAUUUUAUUCUAUAAAUUAAUUAUGGUAAAUUGACACUAAUAUUAAUGACAUAAAGUUGCUACAUUAAGGUUUUUUUAAAAAAAAUUGGAUAUAAAUAAAAUAAAUCCUAAUAAUUUUUUUUUUAUUAUUUGAUAUUAAUUUUUUUUAUAGUUUGUAUCAAUACAAUCUAUUUUCAUAAACUAUUUUUCAUUUUUAUUAAAUUAGAAAUUAUCUUAUAUUUCAUUUAAAAAUAAUUUGUUAAUUUAUGUGUGGACCACAAAAAAGUGCCCUAUUUUGAGCACUUGUUCGGGCCUUGGACCACAUUUAUUGGGUUUAACCCAUUAUUUGAGAAGGUUUUAUAGUUAAUGAAUAUAAAUUUGAAAUUAUUUAACUAAAAUGAAAUAAAUUAAUAUUUAAAUUAAUUUAAUGAUGAUUAGACUCACAAUAAAACUAAAUGCAAUAAGAAUAUUUAUAAAAAUUUUCUAAUAUUUAUGGGAAAUAAGCUCAUUCUAUUAAAUUAGUUUUUUUUUUUUAAAAUAUCAAUAUUCAAAUUAAACCAACAUCAACCUAAAAUAUCAAAUAAUUAAACAAUAUAAAUUCAUUAUGAGUUCAAUAUAUAAAAAUUAUUAUUGGAAGAUGAAAUAAAGAAUACUAUUUUUAAUUUAUUGAAAAAGGACAUGCGUGGUAUUUUAGAAUUUGUUAUAAAGUCCAAAGAGAAAAGAAGGGACGAAAAAGACAUAUUUCAUACUUCAAUAAGCCUUUACCAUUUUCUUUACUGAAAACCCUAAAUUUUCACUCUCCAUUGAAAACCCUAACUUUUGGAAGACAAGAAAGAAGGGAGAGAGCCACCGUUUUUAGAGAGAAAGAAGAGAAGAGAGAAAAACACAGGUUUUUCUCAUCAUGCCCAGAUUUCAUCAAAGGUCCGAUCCCACUUCGUCCGUGGUCCGAUCGAGCUAAAAUUUGGAGGAGAGUUUCAUGACUCAUUUAUCUUCAAUAUGAACGGUGAAGAUCGGAUUUGGAGUUUCGGAAAGUCAUUAGAAAGAAAGAGGAGAAGAGAGAAAAACGCAGGUUUUUCUCAUCAUGCUCAGAUUUCAUCAAAUGUCUGAUCCCGCUUCGUCCGUGGUCCAAUCGAGUUGAAAUUUGGAGGAAAGGUUCGUGGCUCAUGUAUCUUCAAUAUGAACGAUGGAGAUCGGAUUUGGAGUUUUGAACAGUCAUUACAGAGAAAGAGGAGAAGAGAGAAAAACGCAAAUUUUUUUCAUCAUGCCCUAAUUUUAUCAAAGGUCUGAUGCAGCUUUGUCCAUGGUCUGAUCGAGCUGAAAUUUGAAGGAGAGGUUCACAGCUCAUUAAUCUUCAAUUUGAACGGUGAAGAUCGGAUUUAGAGUUUUGGAAAGUCAUCUUUCUUGUUUUGGUGGGCUUUUCUCUCCGGACUGUUUUGAUCAUUAGCUUUGAUCGAGGUCAAUUCGUAGUCCGAUUGAGUUGCAAUUUUGGGAGCACAUUCAGGACACAUUGAUCUUCAUUCUAACAGUGGAGAUUGGAUUUGGAGUUUGGAAAAAUGGUAUUUCAGUCCAAGAACAGUGGUUAUGUUUAGUGAGAUCUCUCCAUUAUUCUGGAUUUAAUUUUGGAUUUAUCUAGUGUUUAUCUUAUAGUGAUUUACUAUUUUUGAUAUAAAUCAAAUUUGUUUACUUUUCAUGUCACCUGCUUUGCUAACUAACAAAUUAGAGCAGUUUCUUCUUUUAUUUAAUCAACCAGAUGAAGAUCUUAAUUGGUUCAAAUUAUAGAUAUUCUCAAUCAAUUGAUAAAUUAUAGAUAUAUUGCAUCCACCAAGUGUUCGAUGCUUAGUCCAUGAGAAGCCAAGUGCUUAAAUCAAUUGUUUAGCUUAUUAUUUUUAUUAUUAGUUUUAUUAUUUCUUCCCUUAAAGGCAUUCUUGAAGAGCUUGGGAAGUUCAUGGGAGGUAAUAAAGUCACUGAACUUUUGAGUUAGUUUGAAGUGCUUGAUUCAAAUCCAUCACCAUGAUGACUUAGAUUCUUAUUUUAUUCUUGUAAAAAAAAAAAAAAAAACUUCAUUUUGACACUUUUUUAAUCAUAUAUUCUCAAUUAUAUGAUAAGUAAAAAUAGUAAUUCCAUUAAUAUUUUAUAUUUUAAUAUUUUGCAUAACCUACCAUGCAUGAAUUACCUCAUGUUUUAUUGAUUUCACAAGUUGGUUUGAGUUUUUGUGGUUUGAUUUCAUUUGGUUCAAGUUGUACCUUGUUAUUUUGGAGCUGGUUUUGGGAGUGAAAAAUGGUGAUUCGUUGAAGAGAAGAGAGAUUGGGAUUUUUCUUUUAGGAGAGUAGAAGUGUGAAGAAAGGGUGAGAAUUUUCUAGGUAAGAGGAAACAAGAGAACAAGGGUUGUUCAAUUAAAGAUUUUUGAUAGAGGGAGAGAAGAAAAUUGAGGGAAGAAGCUGUGAGAGAAGGAGAGUUGUUUUGGGUGCUAGGCAAAAGGCAAGAAGUGAGGGUUGUUCGGUUAGAUAUCUUUGAUAAAAAGAGUGAAGAAAAGGAGAGAUGGAGUUGUGAGAGAAAGAAAGAUAGAGAGGAAGACAUAUGAAGACUAUGUUAAUUUGUUAAUGGAAAGAUUGAGGGAAAUGUUGAAAGAGGAAAAAAAGAAGGAAAGAAAAUAUAAGAUUGUUUGGUUGUUCAUGGAAAGCUUGAGGGAAAUGGGAGAAAGAGGAAAAAGAGAAGGAAAAAAAAUGUAAGAUUGCUUGGUUGUCCAUGGGAAAAUUAUUAAAUUUAAGAUGAAUGCAUAUUUCCUACCUCUAUUCAAUGAAAAUUGAGAGGAAAAUCUUUAGACAUCUUUUCUACUUUUUUCCUUAAUAUUUUUUUCUUACAUUUUCCCAUAAUAUAUAAAAUUUCCCUUUGAAACUUUAUUUACGUUUUGUUCUUUGGAUUAUAUAUUUGAUUUUUUGUUUUUUAGGUAGAAGAAUGAUGAAUAAAAUAUAUUUUAUUGGAGAAAAUCAACUAAUAAUGCUCUUUACAGUUUAGUUCGUGGUAAAUAACUCAAAACCCCAUUUAGAAAUUUAUUUUUCUAUUGCUCUUGAAUCACCUAAACUAAAAUAAAAAAAGAAAAGAAAAGAAAGAACUAGUGUUUUUUCUAUUGUUUAAUUUUCUCAAAAUUUUCUACUUUUCAUUUUAUAUUGGUUCUUGUGUUUUUUUUUCCUUUAAGAUUUUUGUGAGAGUUUUAGUUUGAAUUGCACUUUUUGGUUUUUGCAUUUAUAAUUGAGAGAUUUUUUAUUCUCCUUGUAUUUGUUUAUAGGUUUCAAAGGAAAUUGGUUGGCCAAAAGACAAGAAAUCAUAAUGUUGAAGGAGGUAGUGAUGCCGAAAACCAUGAAGAUUACAUCAAAGUCAUUUGGAGGAUGAUCUUAUUUUUUUUAUAGAAUAUAGUUCUUAAUAGUUGUUGCACUAAUAUUUGUUCUUUUGUAGAAUUAGAAAUUGUUAUUGAAAUAUUUUGAUAUAAUUAACAAAUUUGUAUGUAAUUAUUGUAUGUAAGUAUGAAGUUACAUUAAUGGUUUGAAUUGUAUAUCAAUAUUUGAAACUAUUUUUAUUAGUAAAAUUUAGUUUAAUUUUGGGGCUUUUUUAAUUUUUAUUUAAUUGUAUAGGAAAUCAUUAUUUUAAUAAUAGGAUAUAAAAUAAUGUGUCAUGGAUAAAAUCUAUUAAAUAUGACACUUCUAUAAAUGUCAAGAUUGCUUAUUUCAUAAAAAUGAUAUCACUAGAAAAUGUUUAAAGUUGACGCUUCUUACGAGUGUCGUUGUUAACAUUAUCCAAAGAUGAUGCUUCUUUAAACGUCAUUGAAAGUAUUUAUCAAAGAUGGCGAUUCCUAAAAGCGUCAUUGUUGCCUAAGACAUACAAUGACAGGGCCGAAAAGGACGCUUUAGAGAAGCGUCAUCUUUUUCCUUUCUUGACGCUUAAAAAACGUCAUUAUUUCCCAUUUUUCUUGUAGUGAAAAAUGGGAAAGUUGUGUUUGGAGCCGCCCAUUUGAAGGUAAUAUGGAAAUCAAAGCCAAAGAUUGUGCAAUAUGGGAUUUGACCGUGAGCGGGAAAACUAUUAUUAUUCUUGUGCACUCUGUGCGUAGUUCCUUUUAUCUCCCUAGAGUACCCUUUUACAGACUCCAUGUCAGCAACAUUUAAUGUCUCAAAGUCAGCAGGAUAUAUCUAAAAUUGAAUAAAACACAAAAAUGUAAAAGUUAAUGAUGUUGGGUUACAUCUCCUCAUGCCUGGCCUGAGAACAUAAAAUUUUCCAAACACCCAAUCUUGUUUAUCUCAUUUUAGCAAAAGAAACCCUAAAAUGUCCAAUCUAUCUCCACUAUCUUAGCAACCAAACGGAGCACUUCAUGGUAAGAACACUAGUAACUAGCCCUACUAAAGGCAAUGGCAAUGCACUUGUAAAGAAUUGUUGUCUUCUUACUUUCUUGUAUCACCAUCAUUGUCAUCAUUAACAAAGCCUUAUCCAAAGACAAAUCAUGUGUUGUUUCCAUCCUAAGAACCCAUGUCGUCACUCUUUACUCUACAGUUAAAAAUAUAGAACUAUGAAUAAUCUCAUAGUGAAUUGAAAUCCCCAGAGAAUUGAACCAAUCCAUUGUAUUAGACAUAGGGUACAAAAUGAAUCCAUGGUGUCUUUGGGAGUGCUCUGAUGCGCAUACUUAUUUUUCUUGUACACUUAGGACUACAGUAAAUGAUCUAUUUUCUAUUGAUCAUGGUGAUGGUAGUGAUUCCUCUAUAUGCAGUAUUUGCUUGAGCACACAAAUGGUCAUGUUCAAUUUAUGUUUGACAUCCAAAACUAGCCCUUGUUAAUUCAAGUCCAUUCAGCAUUCUGCCCCACCUUCUAACUUACAACUCCUAAUUCUCUCUUCUCAUGGGCAGAUGUAAAAAUAAGAUCUAAAAUCAGUUUGUAAUAUGUUGAAUGCAUGAAAAGGCAUUAAAAAAUUCAUGCCAUUUCUCAAGGACUUUUCUCAUGUUUCAUCGUUAUGCAAUUUCACCAAUUGGCUACUAUAUAUUAGGACGUUUAACUAUGGCAAGGAACUUGUCUGAAUGAAUACUAUUUCAUCUCAGUAACAUUCCUUUAUAUUGGACUCACCCCUAGAUAGACAUGCAAUAUAUACUAUAAUUUCUCAACGUUUUCAAUCUCUGGAUUCACUGGUUUUGGUUGCUAACCAUCUGCUCAGAAUUUUGGCCCUGGAACCAAAUACAAGAAUGACAUAAUCAACCUAUUUUUUUUCACAACUGGCCCAUGUCCAGUGAACUAUAAGUCUGUGUGUCAACCCUUAAGGUUGUCCAUUAUAUUUUGCUAUCAAUUUAUAUAUAUUACUAUUCUUUUUCUACCUAAAGAUUUUACAAGAUACUGGGGAAAAACCUUGACUUCUUCAGGGGCUUUGCUCUUUUGAUUAUAUUGGGUGGAAUGCAUUCCUGAUCUUCAACCACCUUUUAUUUAUUUUAUUUUUUUUUAUUUUUUUUUAUGGAUGAAGUAACUUUGUGACAAAGAGUUACGGUUGCGGAAACCAAAGAAAGAUGGGAACCGCCACAACGGAAGCACCUAAUGGAGAAUUUGGUGACUUUCAGGCCAGUAAUGCAAGCAAUUGUCCUACCACCAUAAAACAAUAGCACCUGGGUCGUCUGCCCAAUCACAAUGACUUGGUUCUAUGUCUAAAUAUCACAUGACAAAAGAUGAGGUUACCAUCAUAGCAUUUGAAGUGAUUUGUGUAUAUACUCCAAUGAUUCAAUUGUUCCGUACCAUUAUGGAAGGAGAUUUGGGAAUGAAAAAAAUCAAUCUACUUUCAUUCGGUAUUAUGGCUUAAAUUCUUUGACUCUUUAAUAUUCAGUCAAAUUCUCAUUUUUGAUAAUUGAAUGCACCUUUAUAGUCCCAUAUUCACUAACUCCAAACAGGAACUUGGUACAGGUUUUGCAGUAUACAAAUCGCUUUCCUCCAUGAACAUCUCUCAUGGAAUUGCAUUCAACAUUCUCACUUUCAUGAUUAAGUGCCUCAUCAUAAAGAGAUGUUCCUGCAUUUAAGCUAACUAGCUAAUAAAUUAAUAAAGUCCUAAAUGGAUAAGAACAUGGGUCUAAAAACCCCAAUCUUAUAAAUCUAGGAAUACAAGAAUAUUUUUACUGUGAGAAACUUCUUUGUUCUUGAAAACUCUUUCUUAUUUGCUGUAAUCAAGUAGCAGUCUCACUGAAAACAUAUUGGAUGGGUACACAAAGAUGGUUCUCAAAGGACAGUCUGAUAAACAUUGUAGUAAGUAGUAAGCUAAUAUUUGAGUUCUAAGGCUUCAGCAAUGAUGAUUUUGUUGAGAAAAUUUUCAACCUUACUCACCUUACUCCUAUAGUCCUGAUUCUAAAGCCUUAAACUUUUAAAUUUUUGUCCAUACUUUUGGUGGAAUUAUUAAUGACUUCUCUAGUCUCAGAAAUUAAAAUAAUAUCAAUAGCAAACAAAAUACACCAUGACACUUCAUCCAAGAUAUGCCUAAUAAGUUCAUCCAAACUAAUGCAAAAAAUAAAGGCUUAAUAUCAACCCAUUUUUUUCUUUGAUAGGCAAAUAAUCAUUUUUUUUCAUUAUAAAAACAACAUCUAAACAGAAGGGUGUACUAGGGCAUACAUGGUAUACACAAAGGUGUCAGCGAGUGGCCUACUCUGCAUUCCUUAUGGCAACUCUACGACUCAUGCAACCUAUAAACUAUGUAGAGGUAAAUACUUUGCUAUAUUAAGCUAUUGAAGGAACAAUGCAGGCUAAUGACCCUUUUUUCCAGUCAUCAUUCAAGGAAAAAAAAAAAAAAGACUGCAAAUGGACUAUGCCUGGCCAUGGGAACUGAACAGAUUACCUAUCUUUUGAGCAACCCCAACCCUAAGACCAUUCAUAGUUGCCUCAAAAAAUUUAUAAAAUUUGUUAAUUAGGCUUCAUUUUAUAAGUGAAAUUUCUGGAUAUUGCUAAACUAGAAUGUGCAAUUAUCAAGUUCAUGGAAAUUUAUCAUAUAAGUUAAAAAGGAAGUCUUUCUUCCUAGAAGGUGUAUAUGAAUAUAGAAUCAUAGGAAUCAUAGAUGCAAACAGUAAAAUAGUUGAGAUUUAAUCAUCCUAAAAAAUAAUAUUUAGUUUCAAUAUGUUCUUAGACUAGUUUCUCUUCUGAUGUUCAUUAUAACACCUUUGGCCCUAAUAUGUUCUCAACACCCAAACGAAUGCUUAAAUAAAAAACUCACCUGUGAUUGAUUGAGGAAGCUCCACUUCGGUUUCUAGAAACCUUUAAAAAAUCAACCUUUGAUGAAGAAAUAUGAAGAUUUGCCUCGACUUUGGCUUCCUUGAAGGUUUUCGGAAGAAACCUAUCGGGUUUGGGUUGUCACCUCGUGAAGAGACACGCUAGGGUUAAGGUAGAAUCAGACGAAGUCGGCUUUCGGAAGAUAGGUAUCCAUCGCUUGCUCAAGACCUUAAUAAACAGAUCAGUUGUAUCAAAUGAGCUAUGAAAAUGGAAUUUUUUUUAGAUCUAGUUAGGGAAAAACGAGAGAAAGUGACUGAGAUAACUUUAAGUUUCAAAUGUUUCUUGGGUCGAGUGCUUUGUGGGUUUCAAACUUUAUAUAACUUCAAGUUUCACAUUUUAGUGUUUCUAAAAUUGCACACCGGCCUGCUGACAUGGAGACCGGUGGCUGCUGAUAGGGAAAACUAAAGGGCAAUUUUGGAAUAGCUUACCGAAACAGUAUAUAGUGCACAAAAUAUCUCUUAUUCUCUUUUAUUUCCUUUCAUUUUCUUUAUUCUUCAUCUCAUUUUUUUUCUUUCUUUCUCUCUAACCCGUGGCCACCUCUCACCGUUGCUCGUGGCUCCAUUGUUGGAGGUGCCAUUGCCGGCGAUAGUCCUCUUCGAUGCCGACGAUCAUUCCUCCCUCCUACCAUAUUCUUUAUUUUUUUUUUCUCUCUCUCCCUCUCUCUUCUUUCUUACCCAUCAUCAUCUACCACAAUCUCUCACCAUGGCCAUUAUCCUUCCAUCUUUAUCCGGUGACGGUUGUUAUUAUUGUGGUUACCCUCUCAUUGCAGCUUUAUACUCCACGUGACUUCAAGACCAUGGGUAAACCCUACCUUUUGAUUUUUAUGUCUUAUAUUUGGGUUAUUGGAUUUUGUUUGUGGGCUUGAAUUCGGGUUGAACUUAGUUUCAAUAUUAUUUGGGCCUUGGGCUUAUUGGUAUUUGGAUUGUAUUUUGGGUUGGGCCUACUUUGUUAAUUGGAUUUGAUUUAUGAUUUGAGAUUUGGGCUUAGUAUGUUGUUUCAGAAUUACCAUUUCAAUUGAAUUACAUUAGGGUUUUUCUUUUAUUUUUAUGGGGCUUGUAUAUUAUCUAGGCUCUGCUUAUUUCUUUUGCUUUUUCAUUUGGGUUAUUUUUGUUUUUGCAUUGAUCCAUUUUGUAAUUCCGUUGGUUGAGUACGAAUUUAUGACACGUGGUGCAUGGAAUUUCAUAGAAGAAAAUGAGAAUCGAAAAACUGUAAGAAGACAUUGAACUUAUUGUAAGCUUAUUGAGGUACACGUUUCAUUUCCUACUACUAUUUAAUUUUAAUUUUAUUGGUUUCUGUAAAUAUUUGUUUGUAUAUGUUUAUUUGUUGUAUACAAAAUUGGAUAUUUAACAAAUCAGAAAUUUUGUUUAAAUAAGAUGAAUAAUUUAAUAAAUAUGUUUUAAUAAAAUAAUAAUUUUAAAAUAUUAUUCUUAAUAAAAAUUCAGAAAAAUGCUUUUAGAAAAUCCAAAAAAAUUUGUUUUUAAUAGAAUUUGAAAAAUUGUUUUUAAUAAUAAUUGUCUAAAAAUUGCUUUUAAUAAAAUUGUCCAAAAAUUAUUUUCUAAAUAAAGUUGUCCCAAAAAUUAUUUUUUAAUAAAAUUGUCCAAAAAAUAUUUUUUUAAAAAUAAAUUCUUUUUCCUUAAUUAAAAUGGGAUUUAAAGUAAUUUUUAGAAAUAGAGGAUUUAAUUUUUUUUCUUUUUAAUUAAAAAUUCUUUUGCAAAUAAAUUAAUAUUUUUUUAAUAAUUUGUAUAAGUCAAUUUUCUUAAAUGAAAAUAAAUUGAAAUAUUUUUUUUAAAAAAAAAAUCUAAAAAUUCAUUCUUUUAUAGUAAAAACAAGUAAAAAUAAUUUUUGUGCCCAAAUUGAAAUUUUGUAAUAAAUUCUUUUAAUACAAUAAGUGUAAAUAAAUUUUUUUGAAAAUUGAAUACAAAUGAAAUUGAGAAAAUAAAUUGACUAUGUUUUGUAAAUAAAUAAAUUGAAAUCAUUAAUUCAAAAUUGUUUUUAAUAAAAUCCUUUGAAAUUUAUUGAAAACUAUUUUUUUAAAUAUUUUUUUAUUUAGUUCAAUAAAUUAUUUUGCAUAAUUCUCUUGUUAUUUAUUUUGUGUAUUCUUGUAAUUAGAUUUCAUCAUUAUUUUUUGUAUAUAUUGAUUUUCACCAUGACUUGUACAUUGAUUAUUUUGCUUGGUAUCCAUAAUUAAUUAAUUGUCAUAAUUCCCUUAAUUCGUUUAGUAGAGGCCGUAUGUAUACGAACUUAGAGGGGUGCUACGACUCACCACCGUACAUUCCCAAUAGCUAACCUGACUCCCGAACCCGACUUUGGUUUUUCAUAGACUGUUUUUUCCAAAUAAAGAGUCACACUUAGGGUUUUCUUUCUUAUUUUGUUUUUCCUUAAAAAAAUAAAACAAAAAUAAGUGGCGACUCCAAGUCUUUUUUAAAAAAAUCAAAAUUUCACCAAAUAAAUGAAAAACGAGUCUCACCAUUCGAGUGAGAACGCAUGUGAAAAACGCGGGUCCACAAAAUGACGACUCCAUUGGGGAUGUUUAGAGGGUCAAACUUGAACUCGAGUUGAGGGAAAUGUGGCAUUUGAUUGGUCGAUUAGUGGAUACCCAUCUCUAUGUGCUUUUAUAUGAUUGGAUGUUGAUUACAUGUUGAAAGCUUUGAUAUGUUUAUCGAUCCGUGAUGCAUGUUUAGUUAUUAUUGUUCAUUGGAUAUGUUCACAUGUUGAUUAUAUCGAUUGAUUAUCUUGCUUACUUUAGCAUAUGACUCUUCUUGUUGCAUGAUUAUCUUGCUUUCCUUGACAUGUAUAUUCUCAUUUUUGUAUAUCUAAUUCAUCUUGGCAAGAUUGAUUUUCUUUGUUGUAUAAUAUCUUGUUUGUCUCAACAUAUUGUCUAUUAUGCUAUAUACCUAUCUUGUUUAUCCUAUUUCUGCCUAGCUUGGGUGUAGAUAUGAGUGAUAUACCUAUUAUUUGCAUGACUGUUUGGUGCAAUGACUACUCUUCUUCUGUGUGAUGCAUGUGUUGCUUGUCUAUGCGGGACACACAUCUAUCCCCUUACCUCCAAUUCCCUAGUCUUGGUCGACCUUGUUUUCCUUGAUCUCAUAUUUGAUACGAGACUUGUUACUUUGUUUGCUCUUCGACCGAGUUAGUGAUUCAUAGUAGGGUUUAGUGUUGGACUAUAUUUAUGUUUGGGAGCAUUCUGGAGAAGACCAACACAUUGAUGCUGAUUGGAGUCCGAUCUUUGAAGACCUAUAUAGCCCAAAGCUAGGUUUCAUGGAUAUUUAUGUGACCAGUGUGUUUUUUUUUUCCACUUAGUUUGAUAUGAUUUUCGAAUGCAUCCACACCACUCACUGUGCACUUUAGUUGACUACUGAGUGCUAAGAGUUGUAAGAGUUUUCACCAUAGGAAACCUCCUGGGAUGUCGAAGUAGUGCAUGUGUGGAGGUGAUGACUACCUUGCAUGUAAAUGCUCCCAUCUCUUCUGAGGUGUGUAGGAGGUUGCGUAUCGCCAAAUGGUACAAUAGCUUCUGCUAGAGAUCCUUUAAAGUCCACUCAUUUUUCUUUUUAGAGCCGCUUUGACCUUGUAGGUUGAGCCUUAGAUCUUUUGAUUAGGAUUUCAUUUCCUACACAUGGGUGCAUCUGAGAGGCUUCGGGGCCACUUUAGUCACAGUUUGGAUCCAAUACUCCAUUUUUUUGGUCUCCAAUUAAGAGUGCUCAGAGAUUAGUGUGAGUUUGAGUAUCAGUUGGACCAUCCCUUGUUGUGUAGUGUUGACUCAUUCUAGUCUUUUGUUGUGUCUAGCAUGCUUCUUUCCUAGGGUUUUAGAUAGAUUUCAUCUCUCGAGUUAUCAUUUUUUCGAUUGAUUGUCACUAUGCUUGACAUUUUAGGAUAUGUUCAUUGAUUAUACCCACCCUUUUACAUUCUUCAUGUGUCAUGGGCUUAGUAUUUCAUUCUUUGGUUGAUUUGCCUAUUUAUAUUUUCAACCCGAUAUUUUCAUUACAGAAAGGUGAAAGGCAUGUUUUCACAUUCACACCAUUUUUUAGAGGUUCACCUUUAUCACCUUAUCAUUUUUCUUUAUGGAGCUUGGAUUGAAAGUGAAUGAAAUAAUAUUUUGUUAUAAAUGGAGUAUCGAUCUCAUGACAGUGUUGUUUUUCACACCUCAUUCAUUUUAUGGAUUAUUGAUAAAGAUUCUUUAGUCACAUUUGUAGCCAUCUCAUAGUGGACAUUUUUAGGACCUUAGAGUUUUUGUCAUAUUUCCAAUUUUAGAUUGCCAUCGCAGGACCAUAUAUCUCAUGAUGUGUUAUACUUUUGACUUGAGACAUCUAUUCACUUGCAUAUUGUGGUCUUGAGGCUUGACCUAUCAUGGAGGAUAUUGAGCUUAUUAGAUAGGAUAAGAGAUUUGACCUAGGGAGUUUGAGACUAUGACUUAUCUUUUUAUGAUCAGAGUAGUGUCUUACUCACUCUCGCACAUUGACUUUGCUUUGACUUGUAUCCAUCCAUUGUGAGCUUUACACAACAUUACCCUUGACACCAUUAUAUGACUUUUCUAUCCCUAAUUGUUCGAGCUUUGCAUAUUCCCUCUUUGAUCCGACCAGGUAGAGUGUGAAAAGUUUGAGUCUAGGGUUGAUCUUGCAUGGCGAAUGAUGACAUAUGAUCUUUAGGUGGCUUACGACGUGAGGAUUGGUCAAUUACCUGAUGGGAUUGACACUUAUUCUGCCAUGAAUAUAGAGAUUGAUCUUGUAUGAUGAGAAUUAGCUUGUGAUGAGCAGUUGUACCUGAUGAGAUCGUCAUUUACUUUUCUUUGAGAUGAUUACCUUUGAGAUUAUUAUGGAGCAUUUGGAGUAUGGUUUGGCGCAUGAUUCCAGAAGGUUGACAUGGUUAUAUCAAAUGGACAUCGAUUUUUAGGAUCAAUCAUUUGACGGUUUGAGGGCACAAUGUUUGAGACAGUGGUCGCAUGAUGAGUGACCUUCAUUUUGGUUAGCUCACAUCUUAUUACGUUUAUUAACAUUCUAACCAUUGCUAGCCCUUUGAGCCUCACAUGAGUAUUAUAGCAUUUUCUUUCUUAUAGCCUUGCUCACAUUUUACACUGGGAUAGGGGCCCUCUGAUGUAUAUAUGCUUUAUUCGGGAGUCUCAUGAGCCAUGGACUUAUUGACUCAUCUUCUUCAUUAUUUUUUUGUUGUCCUAACAUCAUUUUUCAUCAUACCUCUUUGUUUAUAUCCUUUGUUCUAUCAUUUGUUUUUUUCAUCACGUUUCUUUCUAUGCCAUUAGUGAUGAUCUUUCACAUUUCAAUGCAUGGAGGACAGUCAUAUCCCUCUCCACUCCUAUCUCAUGGACAUUGGUUCAGAGAUCCUUAGUUGAGAAGGUCAUCUUGUUAGAAAGAGUUCUCCUACAUCAUUAUUUGAGAGUAUAUCCAUUUCAUUAUGUAUUCUCAGUGGUGCUCGUUUGUUGAUAUUUAGAGUAUGUGUAAGUAAAAAAUAAAAAAUAAGUGCAUAUAUGUAUGUAUACAGUGUCAUCCUUCAUUGAGGUUGCUUUAUUGAUUUAGUUGCUUAUGAAAGUUCAUAUGUGAACUUUCAAGAGACUUUCAUCUUCUUGUGUCUAUCUCGUUAUGUAUCUUAUGUGUGAGAGACAAAUGACAUUUUCCUAGGGACUUUGAAUUAUUGUCUUCUUCAUUAGUCCAUACGUUGAUGAUUUGACUGUUUUUCAUGACUUGAUUUGAGUAUAUCAGUGCUCACUCAUUUUCGUUCGAUCUAUUUGUUCUUCUCGUGGUAUUUGAUUCAUCUUGCCUACAUUGAUCUUCAUUCAUAUCGAUUUACAUUCUAUGUUUGAUAUUUUCGACACAUCAUUCUUGUACAUCCCAUCAGCAGUUCGAUAUUAUUCAUUUCCUUUCUUUCAUUAGUGAUAUAUUCAUCUGAGAUUCUUUCUUCAUCACCGAUAUAUUCAUAUUGGACGUCUUUAGGUCCAUGAUUUAUGAGACUCUCUGUACAUAUUGCAUUCUACACACGAGGGUAUGGAUUUUGAUUAUUGGGUAUUUGAGCUUUGUUUCCUUUCCUUUUUUUACUCUAUUACCUUAGCCUAUGUUAUGUCUUGGGUCUUAAGACCACCUUGAGGCCAUGAUAUCAUGCAUUGUGUUUUAAUAGCUCUCACAUGGGUGAUAUCUAAGAUUAGUUAGAAAGCAUUUUGAUUGUGAUGGACUAGGAGUUAUGGUAUGACCCUACACUUGGGGCAUAGUCACUUCAGAGAGUUUUUAUCGGGUAUGCAAUCAUUCUGCUUGAUACAUUGCAUUAUGGUGCACACCUUUCUUAGUUAAGGGUUUUUUUUUUCAGAUGACUAUUACACAAGGGCGUACCCCUCUCAGUUGAUGAUGGUUUUUGCUACAUAGCCGUUCCUAGGAGGUGAUCAUUUUCUUCUUUACAUUGGAGUAUGAGAUAUGACUGGGUGAUUUGAUUGGGUUUGUUUAUACGAGAGCAUAACCCUCUCAUUGGUAUUGAUGGAUUUUUGAGUGAUUGGAUCAUGGUGCACACUUGUGAGAGUUAUAUUGGUUCUUAAGCAUUUCGGAGAUCGCCUUACACUAGGACAUAACCCUCUUAUUAGCGAUUGAUCUUAGAAAUACCAGUUCACAUCGGGUCAUGAACAUACUAAAGUGCAUUUUUGUUAAGGCAUACCACUUUGUUUGAUCUUUUUCACAUUGGGACAUGAUCUUUCUUUAGAUGAGGUUAGAUAUUUUCUUCACGUUACCACGAUGACUUUGAGAAGUGGAGAUUCAUUUUGAUUAGAUGAUGUAUGAUUGGUUGUACUUCUUUCAUUGAUGUUUUCUUUAGAGAUGCUUACACUAGGGCAUAACCCACUCAUCGGUGAUGGAUUUUGUGAGAUGAUAGUUUAUGCCAGACACAUACUUCCUAAAGAUUAUCUUGCACUUAGGGCUUACUCAUUUUGAGAGGAUGUAUUCAAACUAGGGUGUAGCUACCUUGCUGAUUUUGAGAUUGAGACUCGACCUUCUAUUUAUAAUUGCUAUUUUUCAUGGAUUAUAGAGUUGUUGACACCCUGGGUUCAGUCUUCUCAGCGUACCUAGUUUGAUUUGGAUAUCCACUUACCUUUGUU